This 50408-nucleotide long non-coding RNA is filed under the name Hordeum vulgare. RNAcentral's name for it is "long non-coding RNA (HVUL_LNC013613)". The stretch from base 26496 to 26625 matches the Rfam family "MIR1120/MIR1122 microRNA precursor family". Lineage: Eukaryota; Viridiplantae; Streptophyta; Magnoliopsida; Poales; Poaceae. The record is from RNAcentral.
AAGUAAAGCCUUUGGGAUGAUUUGCAUGAUGAGUAGAAUUGAUAUGGUGCAAAAACAAAAACUUUGACACCGAGUGAAGAAUUUAUAUGAUUUUACUGGACAUCAUUUUAAGCUUAUUUUUUCACACACUUCUGAUAUAAAAAUUCCCCAGGCCUUCCUAAUUUUUCAGAAUUGUUUGAGUCAUAGAAGUAUGACAAUUAAAUAUAUUACUAUAGACUGUUCUAUUUUAAACAGAUUCUGUUUUUUGCAUGCAUAGUUUGCUUGUAUUGAUUAUGCUAUGGAUUAUAUAGGGGGGUAUAAGCCAUGGAGAAGUUAGAAUAUAGUACCUUAGACUAAAGAAUAAUCAAUUUAUAACAGUACCUAAAAGUGUUUAUUAUGUUGCCUAUACUAACGGAUCUCACGAAGUUUUGUUGAGUUUUGUGUGAUUGAAGUUUUCAAGUUUUGGGUAUUAUCUCGAUGGACAAAGGAAUGAGAAGUGGAAAGAGCCUAAGCUUGGGGAUUGAUACGUCUCCAACGUAUCUAUAAUUUUUGAUGGUUUCAUGCUAUUAUCUUGUCAAACUUUGGAUGUUUUGCAUGCCUUUUAUAUAUGUUUUGGGACUAACUUAUUAACUCAGUGCCAAGUGCCAGUUCCUGUUUUUUCCAUGUUUUUGACCCCUUUCAGAGGAGAUUUUGAAAUGGAGUCGAAAUGGAAUAAAAUCCCUGAAAAGAUUUUUUCCGUAACGAAAGAAGAUCAGGAGACUUGAGAGCCAAGGCAGGGGGGCCCCAGGGGCCCCACAAGCCCUCACCCCGCGGUCAGGGGGGGAGGCCGCGGCCCACAGGCUUGUGGGCCCCCUGGACCUCCUUUGCACUAGGGUUUGCGCCUAUAUAUCCCCAAAAAUUCCACAAAAAAAAUCAGGAGAUCAUCGAAAGUACUUUUCCGCUGCCGCAAGCUUCUGUCUCCGCAAGAUCCCAUCUGGGGCACAUUUUGGUGCCCUGCCGGAGGGGGGAUUCGGACAUGGAGGGCUUCUUCAUCAACACCAUGACCUCUCCAAUGAUGCGUUAGUAGUUCACCAUAAACCUACGGGUCCAUAGCUAGCAACUAGAUGGCUUCUUCUCUCGCUUGGAUCUUCAAUACAAAGUUCUCCAUGAUCUUCAUGGAGAUCUAUCCGAUGUAAUCUUAUUUUGCGGUGUGUUUGUCGAGAUACGAUGAAUUGUGGAUUUAUGAUCAGAUUAUCUAUGAAUCUUAUUUGAGUUUCUUCUGAUCUCUCUUAUGCAUGAUUUCAUAUCCUUGUAACUCUCUUCGAGUUGUGGGUUUAGUCUGGCCAACUAGAUCUAUGAUUCUUGCAAUGGGAGAAGUGCUUGGUUUUGGGUUCAUACCGUGCAGUGACCUCACCCAGUGACAGAAGGGGUAGCGAGCCACGCAUCGUGUUGUUGCCAUCAAGGGUAAAAAGAUGGGGUUUUCAUCAUUGGUUUGAGAUUAUCCCUCUACAUCAUGUCAUCUUGCUUAAGGCGUUACUCUGUUCGUCAUGAACUCAAUACACUAGAUGCAUGCUGGAUAGCGGUCGAUGUGUGGAGUAAUAGUAGUAGAUGCAGAAAGUAUCGGUCUACUUGUCUCGGACGUGAUGCCUAUAUGUAUGAUCAUUGCCUUAGAUAUCAUCAUGACGUUGCGCGGUUCUAUCAAUUGCUCGACAGUAAUUUGUUCACUGAUUGCAAUCUCAGGCGAUGGCUAGACGAAUGCUGAUGACAACAAACCUUCCCUUGCAACAACACCAGAAGAAUGCUGCUAGCACUCCCCGGCAACGGAACUAGAAGAAUGUUGUUGAUGGCCCACGAGCACGUGGGUUUGCAGCAGUUUUCGAGGGUAGAGUAUUCGACCCAAAUUUGUUGGUUAGCCAGACAGGAGGUGAGAGAAUACUCUCGAGUAUUAGCAGCUGANNNNNNNNNNNNNNNNNNNNNNNNNNNNNNNNNNNNNNNNNNNNNNNNNNNNNNNNNNNNNNNNNNNNNNNNNNNNNNNNNNNNNNNNNNNNNNNNNNNNCUUUGCGAAUUACGAUGUAGCUUGCGCUAUAGCUCUACUGUUUUUUAUAUGAUCCUAGAGAAAAUUUAGUUGAAAAUUGAUAGUAGCAAACUUUGCAGACUGAGUCUGUAAAACCGAGGAUUGUCCUCGUUGCUACGCAGAAGGCUUAUGUCCUUAAUGCACCACUCGGUGUGCUGCACCUCGAGCGUCGUCUGUGGAUGCUAUGAACAUCCGACAUACAUGUUGCUGAUGACUACACAAUAGUUCAGUGCAAAAUACUUAAUGGCUUAGAAGCAAGGCGCCGAAAACGUUCUAAAACGUCACGGAACAUAAGUGAUGUUCUAAAGAGAUGAAAUUUUGAUUUCAUGCUUGUGCCCUUGUUAAGAGGUACGAGACCUCCAACAAGAUUCAUUGCCCACAAAAUAAAGGAGAAAAGCUCAAUCGUUGAGAGUGUGCUCAGAUUGUCUGAGUACGACAAAUCACUUGAAUCAAUUGGGAGUUAAUCUUCCAGAUGAGAUAGUGAUAGUUCUCCAAAGUCACUGCCACGAAGCUAUGAGAGCUUCGUGAUGAACUAUAACAUAUCAAGGAUACAUACAAUGAUCCUUGAGUGAUUCGCGAUGUUUGACACUACGAAAGUAGAAAUCAAGAAGGAGCAUCAAUAGUUGAUGGUUUGUAAAACCACUAAGUUUCAAGAAAGGCAAGGGCUAGAAGGGAUACUUCGUGAAACGGCAAAACAGUUGCUGCACUAAUGAAGAGACCCAAGAUAAAACCCAAACCCGAGACUAAGUGCUUCUGUAAUGAGGGGAACAGUAACUGAGGCGGAGCAACUCUAGAUACUUGGUAGAUAAGAAGGCUGGCAAAAGUCAAGAGAAGUAUAUUAGAUAUACAUGAUGUUGAUGUGUACUUUACUAGUACUCCUAGUAGCAUGAGGGUAUUGGAUACCGGUUCGGUUGCUAAGUGAUUGGUAACACGAAAUGAAAGCUACGGCAUAAACGGAGACUAGCUAAAGGCGAGGUGACGAUACGUGUUGGAAGUGUUUCCAAGGUUGAUAUGAUCAAACGUCGCACGCUCCCUCUACCAUCGGAAUUGGUGUUAAACCUAAAUAAUUGUUAUUUGGUGCUUGCGUUAAGCAAGAACAUGAUUGGAUCGUGUUUAUUGCAAUACGAUUAUUCAUUUAAAGAGAAUAAUGGUUACUCUAUUUUCUUGAAUAAUCACCUUCAAUGGUUUAUUGAAUCUCGAUCGUAGUGUUACACAUGUUCAUAAUAUUGGUGCCAAAAAGAUACGAGUUAAUGAUGAUAGUACCACUUACUUGUGGCACUGCCGCUUGAGUCAUGUUAGUAUAAAUUGCAUGAAGAGGCUCCAUACUGAUGGAUCUUUGUACUCACCUGAUUUCGAAUCACUAGUGACAUGCAAACCAUACCACAUGAGCAAGGCCUUGUUUUCAUUGAGAUGAAAUGAGAUAGUAACGUGUUGGAAGUGAUACAUUUUGAUGUAUGCAGUCCAAUGGGUACUGAGGCACGCAGUGGAUAUCAUUAUAUUCUUGCUUCACUGACGAUUUGAGUAGAUACAAGAGUAUUUACUUAAUGAAUCACAAGUCUGAAAUGUUGAAAAGUUCAAAUCCGUUUCAGAGUGAAGUUCGUCGUAACAAGAGGAUAAACUGUCUACGAUAUGAUCAUAGAAAUGAAUAUCUGAGUUACGAGUUUUGGUACGCAGUUAAGACAAUGUGGAAAUUGUUUCGCAGUUCAUGCCACCUGGAACAUCAUGGUGUGAUGAUGUGUCUGAACGUCAUAACCACGCACUAUUUGGUAUGGUGCAUACUAUGAUGUCUCUUAUCGAAUUACCACUAUCGUUUAUGGGUUAUGCAUUAGAGACAACCGCACUCACUUUAAAUAGGGCACCGCGUAUUUCCGUUGAGAUGACACAGUAUAGACUGAGGUUUAGAGAAAUCUAAACUGUCGUUUCUUGAAAGUUUGGGGUUUAGACACUUAUGUGAAAAAGUUUCAGUCUGAUAAGCUCGAACCCAAAGCGGAUAAAUGCAUCUUCAUAGGAUAUCCAAAACAGUUGGGUACAUCUCCUAUCUCAGAUCAAAAAGUAAAAUGUUUGUUUCUAGAAACGGAUCCUUUCUCGAGGAAAGGUUUCUCUCGAAAGAAUUGAGUGGGAGGGUGGUAGAACUUGAUGAGGUUACUGAACCAUCACUUCAACCAGUGUAGCAGGGCGCAGGAAGUUGUUCAUGUGGCGCCUACACCAAUUGAAGUGGAAGUUGAUGAUGAUGAUCAUUAAGCUUCGAAUCAAGUUACUACAAACCUCGUAAGUCGACAAGGUCGCGUACUGCUGCAGAGUAGUACGGUAACCCUGUCUUGGAGGUCAUGUUGUUGAGCAACAGUGAACCUACGAGUUAUAGAGAAAGCGAUGGUGGGCCCAGAUUCCGACAAAUGGCUGGAAGCCAUGAAAUCCGAGAGAGGAUCCAUGUGUGAAAACAAAGUGUAGACUUUGGUAGAACUACUUGAUGGUCAUAGGACUAUUGAGUAAAAAUGGAUCUUUAAAAGAAGACAGACGAUGAUGGUGAUAAGUCACUAUUAAGAAAAGCUCGACUUGUCGCAAAGAUGUUUUCGACAAGAUCAAACAGUUGACUAUGAUGAGACUUUCUCACUCGUAGCGAUGCUAAAGGUCUGUUAGAAUUAUGUUAGUUGUUGAUGCAUUAUUUAUGAAAUAUUGCACGUAGGAUGUCAAAACAUUGUUUUCUCGACGGUUUCCUUGAGCAAACAUUGUAUGUGAUACAACCAGAAGGUUUUGUCGAUCCUAAAGAUACUAGCAAGUAUGCAAGCUCCAGUGAUCCUUCAAUGGACUGGUGCAAGCAUCUCGGAGUUGGAAUAUACACUUUGAUGAGAUGAUCAAAGAUUUUGGGUUUGUACAAGGUUUAUGAGAAACUUGUAUUUCCAAAGAAGUGAGUGGGAGCACUAUAGAAUUUCUGAUAAGUAUAUGUGGUUGACAUAUUGUGGAUCAGAAGUAAUGUAGAAUUUCUGUAAAACAUACAAGGUUGUUUGAAAGGAGUUUUCAAAGGAAUACCUGGAUUGAGCUACUUGAACGUUGAGCAUCAAAGAUCUGUGGAGAUAGAUCGAAAGCGCUUAAUGGAAGUUUCAACAAGAUGCAUGCCUUGACAAGUUUUUGAAGGAGUUCAAAAUAGAUCAGCAAAGAAGGAGUUCUUGGUUGCGUUGUGAGGUGUGAAUUUGAGUAAGACUCAAAACCCGACCCCGGCAGAAUAAAGAGAAUAGACGAAGGUCGUCUUCUAUGCCUUAGCCGUAGAAUCUAAAGUAUGCCAUGCUGUGUACCGCACCGGAUGUGUGCCUUGACUCAAAGUAUGUUGAGAGGUACAAAGAGUGAUCCAUGAUUGAAUCACUAGCAGCGGUCGAAAUUUAUCCUUAGUAACUAAUGGACUAAGGAAUUUUUCUCGAUUAUGGAGGUGGUUAAAGAGUUUGUCGUAAAGGGUUACGUCAAUGCAAGCUUUGACACUAAUCCGAAUAACUAUGAGUAGUGAAACGGAUUCGUAUAGUAGAGUAGAUAUUUGGAGCAUUUCCGAAUAGCACGUAGUAGCAGCAUCUAUAAGAUGACAUAAAGAUUUGUAAAGAAAGCACGGAUCUGAAAGUUUCAGAACCAUUGACUAGAACCUCUCUCACGAGCAAGACGUGAUCAGACCCCAUAACUAUAUGGGUGUUGGAUUCGUUGGAAUCACAUGGUGAUGUGAACUAGAUUAUUGACUCUAGUGCAAGUGGGAGACUGUUGGAAAUAUGCCCUAGAGGCAAUAAUAAAUUAGUUAAUAUUAUAUUUCUUAGUUCAUGAUAAUCGUUUAUUAUCCAUGCUAUAAUUGUAUUGAUUGGAAACACAAUACUUGUGUGGAUACAUAGACAAAACACUGUCCCUAGUAAGCCUCUAGUUGACUAGCUCGUUGAUCAAAGAUGGCCAAGGUUUCCUGGCCAUAAGCAAGUGUUGUUACUUGAUAACGGGAUCACAUCAUUAGGAGAAUCAUGUGAUGGACUAGACCCAAACUAAUAGACGUAGCAUGUUGAUCGUGUCAUUUUGUUGCUACUGUUUUCUGCGUGUCAAGUAUUUUGGGUGACUAUAAAGAUGCUCUACAGGUAUCUUCGAAGGUGUUAGUUGAGUUAGUAUGGAUCAAGACUGGGAUUUGUCACUCCGUGUGACGGAGAGGUAUCUCGGGGCCCACUCGGUAAUACAACAUCACACACAAGCCUUGCAAGCAAUGUAACUUAGUGUAAGUUGCGGGAUCUUGUAUUACGGAACGAGUAAAGAGACUUGCCGGUAAACGAGAUUGAAAUAGGUAUGCGGAUACUGACGAUCGAAUCUCGAGCAAGUAACAUACCGAAGGACAAAGGGAAUGACAUACGGGAUUAUACGAAUCCUUGGCACUGAGGUUCAAACGAUAAGAUCUUCGUAGAAUAUGUAGGAUCCAAUAUGGGCAUCCAGGUCCCGCUAUUGGAUAUUGACCGAGGAGUCUCUCGGGUCAUGUCUACAUAGUUCUCGAACCCGCAGGGUCUGCACACUUAAGGUUCGACGUUGUUUUAUGCGUAUUUGAGUUAUAUGGUUGGUUACCGAAUGUUGUUCGGAGUCCCGGAUGAGAUCACGGACGUCACGAGGGUUUCCGGAAUGGUCCGGAAACGAAGAUUGAUAUAUAGGAUGACCUCAUUUGAUUACCGGAAGGUUUUCGGAGUUACCGGGAAUGUACUGGGGAUGACGAAUGGGUUCCGGGAGUUCACCGGGGGGGCAACCCACCCCGGGGAAGCCCAUAGGCCUUGGGGGAGACACACCAGCCCUUAGUGGGCUGGUGGGACAGCCCACAAGUGCCCUAUGCGCCAAGGAGAAGAAAAUCAAGAGAGAAAGAAAAAAAAAGGAGGAGGUGGGAAGGAAGGGGGACUCCCUCCCACCAAACCUAGUCCAACUCGGUUUGGGGGGGAGAGUCCUCCCCCUUGGACUCGGCCGACCCCCUUGGGGCUCCUUGAGACCCAAGGCAAGGCCCCCUCCCUCCCACCUAUAUAUACGGAGGUUUUAGGGCUGAUUUGAGACGAUUUUUCCACGGCAGCCCGACCACAUACCUCCACGGUUUUUCCUCUAGAUCGCGUUUCUGCGGAGCUCGGGCGGAGCCCUGCUGAGACAAGGUCAUCACCAACCUCCGGAGCGCCGUCACGCUGCCGGAGAACUCUUCUACCUCUUCGUCUCUCUUGCUGGAUCAAGAAGGCCGAGAUCAUCGUCGAGCUGUACGUGUGCUGAACGCGGAGGUGCCGUCUGUUCGGUACUAGAUCGUGGGACUGAUCGCGGGAUUGUUCGCGGGGCGGAUCGAGGGACGUGAGGACGUUCCACUACAUCAACCGCGUUCUCUAACGCUUCUGCUGUACGGUCUACAAGGGUACGUAGAUCACUCAUCCCCUCUCGUAGAUGGACAUCACCAUGAUAGGUCUUCGUGCGCGUAGGAAAUUUUUUGUUUCCCAUGCGACGUUCCCCAACACUCGUGUGGCGGCAGCAGCUUGGCGUGUUUCGGGCGUGUAGUCCUCAUCAUACCGGUGCCAGCAGUCAAUGACUUCGUGGCCCGGUUUCUUGCAAAGUUGGCACCUUGGUCGGCGAUUGUUGUUGUAGCCGCCGCCGUUGUAGCUACCGCUGCGAUCACCGCCGUCGCGGUCACCACCACUACCAGGGCGAGUCUGGCCCUGGUGUCCGGCGCGUCCUCCACCGCCGCUUCCGCGUCCGCGCCCUUGCUGUCCACGCCCACGGCCACGUCCGCGGGAGGCGGCGUUGACAGAAGAUUGACGUAGAUUGGAUCCCUGCAGCAUACUGAGCCGGGCGUCGAAGCUCAGAAGCUGGCUAUAGAUCUCCUGGACCGUGACCGAUUCGACCCGUGCGGCCAAGGCGGAGAUCACGGGAUUGUAGUCGAUGUCGAGGCCGGCGAUGACGUGAGAGAUGAUCUCAGCAUCUCCGAGCGGUGCACCGGCGCAGGCAACUUCAUCGGUGAGGGUUUUGAUCUUUCCAAGAUAUUCUGCCAUGGUUAGAUUACCUUUUUGCAGAUUGGUGAGGGCCAUCCUGGUGUUGAUCUUUUGGGCUUGUGUUUGUGCAGCAAACAUGGCGUGGAUGGAAGUCCAUACCUCGGCCGGCGUCUGAAGCAUCGCCACUUGCGCGAGAACCUCUCGAGAGAAAGAUCCCAUGAGGUAUCCUUGUACCUGCUGUUGCUGCGCAUACCAGAUUGAUCUGGCGUAGUUGAAGACCUGCUCUUCCUUCCCAUCCUUGGUGAUGGAGAUGGUGGCGGGAGGCGCCGGGCUUGCGGCGUCGAGGAAGUGUUCCAUCUGUGCUUCCUUGAUCUGGGGUAGCACGACGGCCUUCCAAAGAAGAAAGUUCGUCCUGGUGAGCUUCUCUGAUGGAGGUGGACCGAGAGAGAGCGAGGUGUUGGAGGAGGAUGAGGGCGCGGCGGAUGUGAUUUGGGUGGAUGCAAUGGUGGGGAGCGCGGGGUCUGUCAUCGUCGACUCUCUCUACGACCAAUGGAGCAAUUUCUCUUCUCGGUAGCUAGGCGUCGAGAGGAAGGGCUCUGAUGACCAUGUGAUGAAGCGUAGAACCCUUUGUCUUGGGCCGCAAUGUAUUUAUAUCACAAAUAUCUUGGAGUACAAGGCAAGAUCUAUCAAGAGGUUACAUGGGAUAAGGGAGAUCGGAGAGAAGAUAGAAUCGGUUUAAGAUACAUCAACUAACAACCGUAUCCUAUACAAUGUGUCUAACAGUGUCGUGCGACUAUCGCUCCCCUCCCUGACCACCAGCGAUUCACCCCACACCGACGAUAGGGCACCGCUCCACAGACGAUUUUAUGACGAGAUUUGGACGGCGCAACGGAUUUGGGCGAGGAACCGUCAGUGACACCGGACAAGUGUCGUUGGUUCGGAAGAGAGGAACUAGAAUAUGCGAUGACGGUCCCAAUGCUACACCGCACGUUAUGAACACGCCUUGCGUUGCUGCCGACCAGGUGCCAUCGAACGGACUGGUACGAUGUCCGCACCCGACUGAAAAAAAAUGAGGCCGCACUUAUUAAAAUUCGAUGGAAAAGAACACCGGUGCCGCCGCGGACCAGAAAUUAGUGAAUAGUGCGUCUUCACACCGUGCUUUUCAUCUCGAUUCUCCAACGGUCCAACGCCAAACGCGGCGGCCGCCGAGAUCCUCGCCGUCGCGGCCGGUGAGAUCCGGGGUAGUUCGGGAUGGAGCCUGCAGGCGAGCGGUGCGGAGCCCUCGCGAUUGGUGGGGCGGAUGGGCAGAUCUCACGACGCCGCCGCCGUGCCGGCGCUCCUCGUCUCCCGCUUCGACGCCGACAAGGCCGCCGUCGUGCCGCCUCGCCCUCAUCGCGCAGGGCGCCGACGUCGCCAUAUCCUCCCAUUGCAUUCGUGCGUGCAUGCGGCGCAUGUUGUCAAGAGCGUGGCGGCGAUCUCAUCCCGCCCCUUCCGGCGGGUUCGGUUCGGUUUGCGCCUCCUCCCUCGUUCCAUCUCACUCCUCGGACCCCUGACGGGAUUUCGAAUUUUCGAUUUGGUAUAUAUGUAUUGCAUUGGAUAUUAAUAUUUGACUUAUCUGUAUAAAAAAUGCAGCACCGUUUGAAUAAUGGCCCCGGUGUUCAUCAGGAAGUAUUUUGCAGCUCAUAGCCUCAUAGGGGAAAAUGUCUAGCAGAUUUAACUGUGUACACACCGGAAUUCUGAAACUAAGGUACGCUUUCUCCAUAAACAUUAUGUCUAUCAGAUCUUCAGUGCUAGAUAUUUAAAUGCUCGUGUUGCUAUCCGCUGAGAAGUUGGUUUGGAAGUUGUCAAACUGAGAAUUCACAACCCCCCACCCCCCUAACCAUUGUUUGAUCAUACAAUUUUGCAUUCCAAUCGUAAUUAAUGCGCCCAGAUGUGAUGAGUACUGAUAAAUAUCAGGAUCUAUGGUUUAUCUCUUGCUGGUGCUGCUGCAAGGGUUUUGAAGACCAAUGGACACAUUGCGCCGCUUUUCCCUCGAAAUCUAAUACUACAGAUUGUUGAAUUCUUGAAUACCCAAGUUAGGCCCCCUUCUGCACGUAGCUCUAGCUCUUAAUUAUCAACAUCGGGGAAAUGGUUGUCUAUGCUUGUUUUAUUUUUUUGAUCUCUCCCAUCUUUGGAGACAAACUGCAUGCUUCAUUAGAGCAGUAGAGCUACAUGCAGUUGAGGUAGUGGGAAAAGCCACCAACAUGUAAUAAGCAACCCAGAUCUUGGUUCAUGAUGAUUGAUAUAUAUGAAUAUGAGUAGGACGAGAUUCAUGUAAUCCGGCAUUGGCUAUUCGGGUCGAGCAACCAAAGAUGGACGGCUAGCUUGGAGCUUCAGUGGCUCGUGAAUUACAGCAUUCAAUGCUCCAACAAUUUCCCUUGGUGAGGUGAAUUCAUCACUACGGAAGUAGAACAAGUGGCUUGUCUUGCAAAACCUCCAGAACAUUUCCCUGCAUGGCCUAGGAACUACACUGUCUUCUCUAAGAACCGAUCUUAGCAGGUCUCUUGUACAUGAAACCAUAGAAUUAUGUAUCUCCUGUUCAGCCGCUUCUAUGGACAUAGAACCACCACUGUGAAGAGCAAGCAGUACAACACAAUUCAGGUUACCAUCUCUGCCGUCCCUCUGCAUGCAGCACAACAUCAUUUCAUUUGUCAGAAAUUAACCAUUUACGAGGUUAGAUUUUGUAUCCUCAUUACUAGGGAUACUUUUCUUUUCAGAAAUGGAAUUAAUCAAUUACCUCAGAGGUUCUGUUAUCGUUCAUGAAACGGCCACACCUGCUCACUAGCCUAAGCAACUCGUUGUAAUCUUGACUUUUGGCGACAUGCUCUGAGAGUUUCUCUCCAAUAAAAUACUGUGAUGUGAGGAUAAUUGGGCCUAGUGCGAAUGUGACAGCUGCAGGUGUCAUGUAUUCUUCAACUGUUGGAGCAUGUUGGCUCCUCCUCCACUCUGCCUCGGUCAUCUCAGACCUUAGUAAGUGUAGCCACUACAAAAGAGUAUCAGCUGCCUGUCAAUACUGAACGCUGCAAUUCAUAAUAGUGUAUCACACAUGCGUGAACUUACUUGUUCAACCAGGUGCUUUGUAACAUCACAGUUUUGUACUAUAGAUGCCAUUGAUCCAAGCUGAUUCACUGUUCUAUAGAGAGCAAAAAAUGCAAUUUUUACUCGCUCAGAAAAGAAUUCCUCAUCUUUGUGAGGCUCAUCCCACCUAAGAAAAUCAUUGUCGAGAAAGGGAGGAUGAUGGAUUAUUAAUUGGCAAUGCAUAAGACAGUACCACUACUUCAGAAAGUGAUCAAAGGCCAAAAUAUCAAGAUAAUGGAUUUACCUCUCAACUAAUCCUAUGAGGCUCUCCAGUUCUCCUUUUGAUCCAGCAACAUCAAACAAGUCAUCAAAAAUAAUUGUGAGAAAAAUAGUUUUGGCACACGCAACACGAGCAACAGAAAGUUCAUGUGGUGAUAUGGCGGCAACAGCAGAGAGAUAGCUAGUCGUCAGUAUCUUCCGUACAUAUUGUAGUUGGUCCAGCUUGUUCUCUUUCGCCCAACUGUUGCAAUAAAAUUUGUAAUAAGUUUUUAACAAGACAAGUAAGCAAGCAAUAGCCAUUGCCAUAUUACCUUUCAAGGUGAUGAAGUUCUUCCUGGUAAAUAGAUUGUGAAAUACGGAAAUCGUCAAUUGCCAGAGCUAGAAGAUCUUGAUUGACGCGAUGUGGCCUGAUUCUCAAAAUGGUUGAAUUUUUCUCUAGCAUGUUUAUUAAAAUGAUUUCAAAGACUAUUUUACUUACAAAUGAAGACUUACAAGUUUUUCCUCUUCAGCAUCCGAGGAACCCUGGUAUCGAGAUUCUGAAUGUUCCUCUUGUGUUCUACUGGUUCCACGGUGGCAUAAAAGGGAAAUUUAAGAGCAUGCUCGACCUGAAAUUACCAAAAGCACAUAAUUUAACUUCAACAUAAUUGUCCACUGGAAUAGCUGUGUGUAUCCUUAGUUAGCAAAGAACCAACUAAUAAAGCUGCCAUUAAUUUACACUUAAAAGCACCUCUUCAGAGAGCGAUAUACUUUGCAUCCCAUCAGAGCACAAGUUUUUGGUCAAUAAUUUCCUCGGCCAGUAACCUAGGAUCAGUUCAUCUUCUGAGAAGUUAACUUCGGAAGCUUUGUAAAGCUCCAAUAUACAUUUGGUAUCAUGUAAAUAUCCUUGAAGUGAGCUACUGAAAGUGGAGGCUUUAGCAACAUGUGACAACUCAUCUGCAUCGGAUUAUAAUAAUCAGUUAAAUCAAGAUAAAAUAUAAAAUAAUAUAGCAGGGAUUCAACGAAGUACCUGAGGAAACAUCAUAUCCGUUCAUCUGUAAAAGGCGAAACGCCAUUGCACAUGUUUCCAAAUCCAACCUGAUUUCCUCGUCUCUUUGUAACCAGUAACUGCAAAGAUGACACAAUAAGAUCUACAAGCUAUUCAAAAUAGACAUCAAAUCCUCACUCAUGGCCGUUACCUGUAUGUCAUGUCGAGGAUGUCCUUUAUCUCUGUUGAAAAGUAUCGAGAUAUUCCAAUUUUUUCGAGUGUAUCCACAAUUGAUAGCUGACAAUGUAUAUUUUGUGGGUACAUUGUUGGUACUGCAAAGUUACAGUGGCACAUUAAGCAUUUCGCUAGAGUCUACACCCCUAAGGUGCUUCAUAACGGCAGGUAGAUGUACUCACCUGCACUACUACCAAAUUUAGUGACAAGCAAAUUUAGGUACUGGAGGGCUUUCUCAUCGUAGUUGUGAACAAGGAUAGCAGCAGUUGUGGAAGGAGAAUUGAAAAAUGAUCCAUUAUUUCUCUGGAAUUUCAUAACUUCAUUCCAGUCCACCAAGUUUCCCAACCCUUCAGCAACAAAAGCCAUAUAUGCUUCUUUUCCAUAAGAUUUAUCCUUCGCAAGCCUGUAUAAAAUGAACACAAGGACUUCUAAUAAAGCGCUGUAAAAGUCAACCUAUCUUAAUUGGUACUAGGAAAGAAGCAGUAUGUAUGACAGUAUGAGACGACAACUCUUUCCUUCAAACUAUUUUUAUAUAAAGAAUAUUCUGAAAGUGAAGCUGCCUCUUAGCAUUUUUUGGAAUAUAAGAGACGUAGCAGACAAAUUUCAUAUUCACAUAACCGGUUCACUUGUGCUUUGCAAAGAGAUGCCCCUAAAGUACAAAUGGGGGGAAACAAAUUACAUUAUUUUUAAACCUGCAAUUGUUGGGGAAAAUCCCCACAUGAGGUAACUUUAGAAUGGUUACCAAACAAGUUUAAAUAAUUCAUAAACACAAUGUUGAUGCUUGAAUUGUCAUUGACAAACCUUUCCAUUUCCAUUUCCUUGCGGCGAAGAAUCCCACGGACACUACUUUCUGUAACUGAAAAUUCCAAACCCAUCUCAAUGGCAAGUUGAACCAUACCAGGAAAUAUGAUAUUGAAGCCAGUAGGAGCGUCAAUUUUCUCAUCGAUAACAGUUGAGAAAUUUCUUCCAAUAAAAUUUAGUCCUGCCCAGGGUCAUUUUCAUCUCAUCAAGACCUUGCAGUUCUGGAAAAUAAAAGAGAGUAAACAAUACUCCAUGAGUAAAGGCAUCCCUAGUUUGUACCUCUAGUUAUGUGCUCCGGGCCAACUUUCCAUUUCUUAAGUGCGAUAACACAUGCCAAUGUAGAUAACAUAACAUUCUUGUCGGCUGAUAAGUCAUAUUCAGUGAUACCCCAAGAUCCAUCGCCAUGCUGGUUUUGCAAUAUCCAUUCAACGCAUUGAGGGAAGUAUGGCGUCUUAAGAUGACCCGCCAAUGGCACCAUAGCCACCCAUGCCGUGUCAUAUGAAGAUGGCAAAAAUUCAGGCUUCUGAAGCUGCUUCUUGAUCCUAGUCGCACGUUCCUAUUUCAUAUUUAAUUUAUUAUUGAGAGAAGAGUAUCAUGACAGGAGCCUUAAAUCAUUCAACCUGGCAAAAUAUGGAGGGUUCAUACCACAUUUGUCGAUCUUGAAUUUGUUUGUCCUUCCAGCCUCGUUUCAACAUAUGCUGUUCGAUGACUGAAAUCAAUUAGCACAUCAGUUGUGUGAAAACUAUAGAUGAUGUAAUUCUGAGGCACAUCAGUUAUGUGAACACUAUAGAUGAUGUAACUCCAGGGCACACAACAAAUAUCAAAUCAGUUAACUAUCGUCCUUUCGUCCAGCUCCAGCUGCGUGAAAGAGAUGAAGAGGUGUGCUUCUGUACACUGUCCUAAAAAAGAUAUUGCCGACUUUGAUACGAAUUAUGCUACACGUAAUAAUCUCACCCCCUUUAACUAGGUUACAUAGUCCAGGAGAAAAAAGGCAUCCAAGCUAGUUCGUGCUCUGCGCGUGAUAAAACUGGACGCCUUUCAGUAAGAGCUAAUUGUCGGUAGAGAGCUAACUGUUUCUUGGUCAUCAUCGUCUUCCUAACCGUAAUCUUAGGGACAGCGAAGGAGACAUCAUGAAUCUCAUGUUCCGUAAAAUGAAAAUCCUCAAAUCUCUUGAUUCUUUCGAGAUCAAAUGCGGCAUAAUACUCCUGACACCACUAACACAAGUCGUAUAGGAUAAAAUGUGCUUCAUCCAUCUGUCCUAUGUAAAUUGUAAAGUAGAUAUCCCAAAACAUUGAAGUUCCCAAGAACAGAAAGGACAUGCAUAUCCUACAUAACACAAGUCAUACAAUGAAACCCAUCCAAGCAAAUUAAAGCUGGGUCUGCUUACCGCUGCAAGAAGAAAUCCUCUGAGUCCUCACACAAGCCCAGUGGAGGAGAGGAGUAGGACAGAAGAACUCACGGCAGCGUGCUUGCGUGGAAAGAAGCCUGGAGGCGUGCACAGCCAUAGCGCCUUUGCUGAAGCUCAGGCGAAGAGGGGCUUUUCGCUGAUGGUUCCAGCAGGACUUCCGCACCGGCAGUGCCGUCCCUGGGAGGACGGAGCUGCACCCAGUUACCUUUGUCGUCGACAUGGGAAAGAAUACCGGAAGAGAGACGCGGAUGAUUGUGCUGUUAGUUAUUGCACCUAUCUAUCACAUAUUCACAUCACACGCCACAUGCCACAAUUUUUUUUCUUCGAAAACGAGGGUUUCCUCCGGCCACAUGCCACACGCCACAUGCAGUUCUAUACUGACAUUACAGAACACCACUCAUAACUUCCAAGCAUCUUUUAAUUGUUCUCAAAUUGCUUGUGGGCAAGUUGCUUGGCUGUCGUCGAGUCAAGUCUUGAGAAAUGCUAGUUUUUGGUUGUUGCUGUUUGGUAGUAUUAUUAGAGCAACUCUAGCGGAUCCUCUAACUGGCAUCUAGCCAUACUCCUAAACCGGUUAGAGGAGUAAAAAACUUGCUCUUCCGUCCGAUUCUUUUUCGCUCCAAAGACACCCGCCGCGGCUCAGCCUGGGACUGCCACCGCUCUAGCCACCACGGGCUGCCACUCGCCGGAAACCACGCCGGUGUACGACAUGUGCUUCAGCCGCAGAUAUAGCACUUGAGGUGCGUGUUCAACGCAUGCGGUCGAGAUGAACUAUGUCAAUGCAUACACAGACAAGAAAAAGCCAGGCGUGAGCUCGCUAGCAGGCGAUGACCAUGGCUGUCUAAAUACGCCCUGAAUACACCAUGCGCACGCUUUUCAGUAGGGACAUGGAUUCACGAGCAACGUCAGCUCCAGCACCAGCACAUCGGCGGACGCCUGAGGACGCCGGCGUCAACCUCGGUUAGUGCAGGCGGAGGUACGAUGUCCGAUGUGCUCACCAGUGUUGCUGGUGUUGUCAGUUGUCCCCAUUCGUCGUGGAGACGCAUAUGUUUGAAAAAACUUGCAUAAGCCAAAAGUAAGUUAUACUCUGUUAAGUUUAGAGGAUUGGCUAGAAAUGAUCGAAACUUAAUGGAAUAAAUUUACUUCACUAAGGCUAACCCGACGGUUUACUCCUUUAUUUUUAAGAGGAUCGGCUAGAGUUGCUAUUCUGUCCCUUGUCUAGCCUUAUCAUUCUACUACCUAUGUAAACUUAAUAGGUCUUACGGAACGUCUUAAUUAUAAGCAUCUUGUGACCUAGAACGUCUUAUAAAAGUUUACAGUGGGAGCACCAUUUAUAAACUUUUAAGCAUCUUAUGCUUUACGACAAAGACAUGUAGUUUAGUCUUAAUCAAGACAUACAUGGAGUCUUCUCAACUCUUUGGUUUGUCUGUCUCUGUGUAUAGAUGGUUGAGGAUGUCUAUACCACUUUCAACUACUACUACGUACUAUUCUAGUUUAGUACCUGACCAACUACAAGUUAAUUAGGUUGGUCGCAUAUGCCAAGACCAGACGAAAUUGGAUCUUCAUCACUCUCCAUAAUGAAGCCUCUUGGCAUCAGCUCCCAACUCUGCCUACAGACUGAAAUUAUAGACUAGUGCCUCCCGUACAGGCACUAUUAUUAAACACUUAGGCCCCGUUUGGCAUCGGUGUAUUUUUAUACACCUGUAAAUAUUUUACAGGGGUAUUAUAUAGGUCUUAGUUGAUUUUCGUCUGUAAAAAAGCGAUGGAUUUAGGUCUGUAUAAUUUUUACAGGUGUAUGGCGCUGUGAAACGCCAAUCCAAUCGGGGCCUUAGGCCCGGAUCGGAGUCCCUCCACUCUGCGGCUCUGCUCCCGGAGCGAACGGAGCUGUAGUUAAAAUUCGCGUAGCGGCUGCACAAAUGCUCUGUAGAUUCUUAAAUUUUAAGGAGCUGGUGGAUUACCAAACGAGUCCUUAUUACGGACACCCGCAAAACAAAAACACUUAUUAAGAACAAAAUGCUUGAUUCAUUACGAUGUAUGCGCAUUGGAUCCUUUGUGAUGCCAAAGGAUCAUGUGUUAGGUAUUGAGAUUAAGUAGACUUUGUGCAUUAGAUAUGAAGUUUUAAUUACUAGAUAGUAGAGCAAGUAUCAGCAAAUGAGUGCACUAUUUAUUUAAGUGGACAAUUUUUAUGUUAAGACAAGUUAAACAUAUCUAUCACAUGCCUAUUGAUAUUACACCACUCAAAACUUCCAAGCAUCUUUGCUUGGUUGUCGUGUCAAGUCAUGAGAAACAUUAUUAGGUGUUGCCGCUAAUUGGUAUUAUGUGCACUAGCUACACAUGUCCCUUGUCUAGCUUUACCAUUCUGCCAUAUUUAAAAGAGUUAUUAAAUGCAGAAAACCACCACAUUGAAGGACGAGUAUGCAGAAAGAACCACUUUACGAUGUUUUGGCAAGAAACAUUAUGUCUACGGGUAAUGACCUAGCAAGUGACAUUAAUCAUGCUUUUAGAUCGGUUGAUAACUUUUUGACAUAUAGGGGUUGCUGGACAGGCUCGCGUUGCAUAAAAAUUGCAAUUUUGACGCUUUGACGUUUGAAUUGUCUCUCUCUCUCUCUCUCUCUCUCUCUCUCUCUCUCUCUCUCCCCGGUGGGAUCCAUGACACACCACACCUUCUUCAUUGGCUCGCAGGGUGGAGCUCGAACAUGGGGACGAUUCCGCACGAGAAGUUGUCGCCAUCCCCACCAGAGACGAGGGCAUGGUCAUCGACUCGUGCAUUGGCCACCGUGGGGAAGCAACUCAAUUUGGGAUGCUUGGUGGUGGCGGAGAGGAACGACACACCACAUCCACUGAUGCCAGUCAAGGCUCCGUCAAGCCCCAUUACACCCGACAUGACGGAUGGUCCUCGAAAGCCACCACCGCGCCCUCUCUCGAUCUAGUGGGCUGCAGUGGAUGAGCCCAGCCAUGGCCCCGUCUAGCCCCUCUUACAUGCCCGAGAUCUUGAGGCCCUCGGUUGUCGUUCGAAACCUACACCUCCACCCAGUGUCGAUGGCGUGGGGGUACUUUCCAAUCAUAAAUUAGGAAGGGAAGUUGAGGGGGUGACUGGUGGAGGCGACUGGGUGAGAUGGCCACCGAGGCCGCUGGUGGGCACUGGCUGCGGCAGAGGCUGGCACCGAGGGAGUCGAGGGCGGCGUCGACUUGAACAGGGAUCGGGUGGGGGGNNNNNNNNNNNNNNNNUGUUAGAAGGGGGGGGGGGGGGGGGGGGGGGGUCACUAGAGAAGACAAAUCAAAGUGCCCAAGUGGCAUUUUUUUGCCAAGUCAGCUCUUCACGAGCAGGACCAAGAUGUCAUAAACGUGCUCAAAGCGCUCUAAUUCGCAGAUUAGUGGUUUACACAAAAAACGUAGACAUGGUGUUUUCUUUUUCUCCAAAAAAAUCGUAGAAAUGUUCCUUCUGCAAACCCUCCUUCAGUGUGGAGGUUUCUACGUUUAACUCCCAUUUAAAAAUUUGUAAUACCGCGUUUGGAUGUCUCCAUUGGAGAGCUCCGUAUUGAAUUGGUCUAAAUUCCAAAUCAGUGGAGGGAACUGAAAUGGCAGGAAUACAAAUUCACCUGUUUGGUUGUCCCAUGAAUUGGCCCUUGAAAUGCCUCUGAGAUUUCAAUUCCAGAUCAUGUUUGGAUGACAAACUUUGGAAUUUGACAAGAAGAUCCAGGCUAUGACAAACUUUGGAAUUUGACAAGAAGAUUCGGAGGGCGGAGGGCGUGCCGGGCCUGUGACGUCGGUCGGAGGGAGGAGCCGACGGCGGGGUGUGUCAGUCUUGGUCCGUCGCCGAACACCAUGGCGGGGUGUGGUAGAGGGCGAACAAGGGCAAGGGAACCGAUGGGAGAAGAGUCAGGGAAGAAGGGAGCGGUCGCCGCCGGUCGCCGUGGUGGUCGCCGCGGCCACCUGGCUACUAGGUCUCGCCGCCGCCUCCUCCCUGUCGCUGCUAGGUCUCGCAUCCCGUCACUUCUUUUUCUUUUUCUGUUCGGGCCCCAACCUGUAUGUUUUGCGGGAGAGACGAUUUCGGGCCAAUUCGGAGCGCUACCCCUCCGAAACAUGGGAGGAAGAUUUUCACGGGAGCCAAAACGGACCUGAAUUGCAUUUUCGUUUCCAAUACGAAUUCAGUGUGCAGCCAAACGUCCGUUUUUUUUUUUUUGCGAUGAAGCCAAACAUCCGUAUUGACGCCAGAUGAUUACCAAAUCCAUUUCCUGAGCUCCAAUGAAGACAUCCAAACGCAGUGUGUAAGCAUAUUGUGCUUUACGAUCGACAUGGAUAGUUUAGUCUUAGUCAAGACAUAUUUAACUCUUCGGUUUGUUUGUCUCUGUGUAUAGGUGGUUGAGGAUGUACGUAGCGCUUUCAACAACUAGUACUCCCUGGACAACUACUGCAAAUUAGAUUGGCUGCAUAUAUAUGCCAAGACCAGACAAAAUAGGAUCUUCAUCACUCUCCAUACUGAAGCCUCUUGACAUUCGGCUUCCAACUCUGUCUCCAGUUGAAGAAUAGUGUCUAGUAUAUACGUAGGCACUAUUUAUUAAACACUUAUUAAGGACAAUCUGCUUGAUUCGUUACGAUUUAUGCGGAUACGAUCCUUUGUUAGAUGCCAAAUGAUCUUGUUGGGUAUUGAGAUUAGGUAGACUUUGCGCAUUAGAUAUGGAGUUUUAAUUACAGGAUAGAAUAGAGCUUGUGACGUCAAAUGAGUUCAACAUUUACUCAAGUGGAUAAUAUUUAUGUUUAAUUAAAAUGAGUAUGAAAAUGAAACUCAGGAUACUGAUAUCUGGCAGCAUUUCGAUUAAGUCCAAAUAGUGAUCAACCCAUACGGUCACACGGGCCAGCUAUUUCUAAAACUAAUUAAUGCAUAUAUCAACUCGAUAACAUUCAUUGUAUUUCAGUGGGUUAAAGCCCAUAAAAUCUAACAGUAACAGUAACUACAACUUUAUGUGAGUUAACAUGACAGCUCUAUGCUAUACUAAUUAUUUCGAGCUUGUGAUGGACAGCUCGGAAUAAUACCAAAACCCCUAUGGUUAGCUAACAAAAUGGAUACAUUAUUUCUUUGGUUGAAAUCAAGGUUCUCUAAAUAUUAGUUAAGUUUAUUGGAGUUGCAGUUUCCCACCUGCUCGCUCUUCCUGCUCGUAUAUUGGUGACAACUCGACCUUUGAGCAGCUACAGCAAUGGAUUAAAAAAAUUACUUUUCGCUCCCCCGGAGCAUCUUGUGAACAUGUGUUAACAGACCAAUAAUUUAUGACCAUCUACUUUUUUAAGAAUCCAAAUUUAGAAAAUCAUGAAGAACCAACGUGUGGCUACAUAGUUAGAAGGGAAAUUAUACCCCCAACCUAUCAGAGAUGAAACUUCAGGUUUCACGCUUCAGGGACUCAUAAAGACGGAAUAUUUUCUCACUGCGAAAGGCGACAUUUAUGUUGAUAGCUAGGCGUCUGCGAUGGCUUCAUCAAUCUCAAGACGUACCGGCUCAGUCUUUCGAUGAUGCUCAUAGGGAUGAGUGUUUGUGAAGAAAAAAUGAUCUUAUGUUUUGAGCUAGUUAGCCCAUUUUACAUACUACUAGCAAAAGGGCCCGUGCGUUGCAACGGGAGAAAAAAUACCACACGCUUUUAAUUUUUUUAUAAUCAUUUUGAUUUAUUAAAAUAAUAAGCUAACUAACUAAUGUAGUCAGUCCUAUCCUAUUUUGUUGAAAAAUCAACCCGUUCAUUGUUAAUUCCAACAUGAUGAGAAAUUGAGCGGGACAAGCAAAGCAAAACAAAGAGGCUACAUGAAUUGAUCAAUGGACUGUUAUCUUAUUUUACUCAUGGGAUAGAGAAUGUGGGAUCAGAUGACAAACUGCAGGUGGUGUUCCAUUCUCUGUCUCUACAACAAUACAAUCUUACAUUCAAUACAUUCAUUCGUCAGCAAACAAAUCCCCAUAAAACAAAAUUUCUUGCCGGUGCUUGGCACACGGUUGGAGGCAUGGGGAGGGGAUCUCACCAGAUGAUGAGUUCCUGCCGGAGGAGGGGAUACGAUGAGGGGAGCAAGGGUUAGGCGCCUCUAUCUGGCCAUAAGGAGUCGCCUUUGCCGCGCCAUAACCUCGGAGUUCCCCGUGUGAGCCAUGAAGGCCCGCCUCAACCUGCAAGUACUUCGCUCCGCCGCACCUUAUUCGCGCGCCGCCGCCGUUUUGCAUCGAGCAGACGCAUCAUCCCCGGUCACUGUAGCUGUCGCGUUGAUUUGAUCCAGAAGCUGUGCUCGAGCAUCGAAACGGGGGCAGCAAGCGGGCAGAGGUACGGCCGCGGAGGCGGGUGGGUUGAGAUCGACAACAAUGGUGGUUGAGGUCGGCCGCGGCGGCGAGUGGUGUGGCAGCGGCCUGGGCACAGGCCAGGGUGGACCAGGGUCGACGCGAUGCGCUCGAGCGCCACAACAGGGGCAGUGAGCGGGGAGAGGUACGGCCGCGGAGGUGGGUGGGUUGAGAUCAACAGCGGUGGCAGUUGAGGUCGGCCGCGGCGGCGAGUGGUGUGGCGGCGGCCUGGGCACAGGCCAGGGUGACCCAGGGUCGACGGGAGGAGGCGAUGCGUACGGGUAUAAUUUUUGCAGCGAAUCGUUUUUUCGUUUUGCGUUGCAGAUAAAUGAUGAAGCGCGGGUUGAAUAACAAAAAUUACAGGGGCUUUCUUAUAAAAAUAUCGCGGUGGGUUUUCCGACGGAAGCAAUAGCCGCUUUAUUAUUAGGUAUAGACUAGAAGUCUUGUGUCAACCCAAAAUUACUGUGCGUUUGCCAUAGUAAACUCAAAUGCAUUGCUUCCAAUCGGAUGGUAUUUCGCGAUACUUUGCUAAUACUUGACACGGCUUAUUUGUCCCGAGUUAGCAAGCAUGACCAGCCAGCUCGGUCUUUUCUUCUAUAAAUAUGGAGGUGGGAGGAGGAACCCAUCAACCCAUCAUCUCUCACAAGAAAACAACGGCUGCAAGGAUGCGGUUGUUCGCUGCUGUACAGCCACAAGUUCGGUUGCUCGGCCAGCUGAAGGCUGAGCCACGGGACCGAACCUUUCUGCACCUAGGCUUACGCUCACGUCCGGGACUACGAGGUAACCAUGACUUACGUAUCUUGUAACUAGGGGCCCCGACCCAGGCCGCUUUGAUAAGUUUAUUAUGGCAUAUUUUGUAACCACGCCAAAGAAAAAUUGUACUCCCUCCGUUCUUACAUAUAAGUAUUUUUUUAAAGAUUCACUUGGAAACUACAUACGAAUGUAUAUAGACAUACUUUGGAGUGUAGAUUCACUCAGUUUGCUUCAUAUAGUUCCCUAAUGAAAUCUUUAAAAAGACUUAUAUUUAAAAACGGAUGGAGUAACACUUAACUGUUCACGUGAAAAAUUAUUUAUAUGUAUCAUACUGAAAAUAAUUUGUCGGAUCUGGGAGGGCUGCUGGCCCUUGCACAUCGAAAAGGCUAAGACAAGAGCACGACUAGAACCGCAUAUAUUUCUUGUACUUAUUAUUUAUUCACUUGAGAUGCCUGGUUUUUAGGGUGCGUGCUAAAUAGCACAUUUUUGGACCACGAGGCAGAAACACACGAACUACCAGUUGAUGGGUUUAGAAAACACAAGGUGCGUAUUUAUAUGUGUAUCACUAACUCAAGUUGGGUGGACUUAUAUUUUGUGCACAAAUUGGUUUACAUAAUUAACUCUGGUUAAAAUGAUAAAAUUUACCUCAAGGAUGACCUUGAUGAGAUGCCACACAUGAUUGAAUCCAUCAGAGGAGCACUGAGGUCAAUGAGCGGGGGCGAGAUUAGUGUGUCUCCUUAUGAUACAGCCAUGGUGUCACUUGUCAAGAACCUAGACGGAGGAGAUGGGCCACAAUUCCCAUCGACCAUUGAAUGGAUCGUCCAGAAUCAGCUUCCAGAUGGUUCAUGGGGUGAUGGUGCCUUUUUUAUGGUCAGAGACCGGAUCAUCAACACCCUAGCAUGUGUUGUGGCAUUGACGUCUUGGAAUAUUUACACUGACAACUGCAAGAGAGGUAUAUCACUGGAAAUUUCUUUCAACCGGAACAAAAUGUUUACGUUAUAUUCAUCUCAGUGUGGAUGAGAUAUUAACUGCCUAAAGUAUAAAUAGUAUGUUUUUGUUAUAGGUUUGUUGUUUAUCCGACAAAAUAUGUCGAGGUUGGCUGGCGAGGAUGAUGAUUGGAUGCUAGUCGGCUUUGAGAUUGCCUUCCCCUCACUUCUAGAUAUGGCCAAGGACCUAGAUCUGGAUAUCCCUUAUGAUGACCCUGCACUGCAAGCAAUAUAUGCCAAGAGAAACUUAAAGCUCGCUAAGUAUGGUUCUCUCUGAAUCUAUCCAUUUUACUUUAUUUUGAAGUCCUGAAAAUGUUAAUCAAGCCAACAAACAACAAAUGAAUUUACACUUAAAGGUUCUUCAUUUUGAACUCCUGAAAACUCUAGGUUGUCACCCAUCUAUUACUCUCUCCGUUCCUAAAUAUAAGUAUUUUUUAGAGAUUUCAUUAUGGGACUACAUAUGUAGCAAAAUGAGUGAAUAUAUACUCUAAAGUUUGUCUAUAUGUUUUUGUAUGUUGUCCCCUAGUGAAGCCUCUAAAAAGAAAUAUUUAGAAAUGGAGGGCGUAUUUCAGUAUUUACUACUAUACUCCCUCCAUUCCUAAUUAUAAGAUGGUUUACCAUUAUUCCGAUUCGGAUGUAUAUAGACACGUUUUAGUGUGUCUGUUCAUUCAUUUCACUCCAUAUUUAACCCAUAUCUAAAUAUCCAAAAUAUCUUAUAAUUAGGAACUGAGGUUGUGCAUGAGAAGCAAGGGCUUACUACACAGUUAUAUGUUCAGCCAACCAAUUACUCCAUCCUAAAGAAAUAUAUGAGCGUUUAGAUAACUAAAGUAGUGAUCUAAACACUUUUAUAUUUGUUUAGGGAGGGAGUACUACAGAAGAUGUUUAGGAAUUAAGUUGUGACUUUUUAUACUAAUUUACUAGAAUUUUGUUAUGUUUUUCUGUUUGACAAAGGAUAACUUCAGAUUUUAUUACUUUUCAUAAAUUUCUGCAUCACAGGUCUGUAACAAAAAAAGGUACUAAAAACUAAAGGAAACUAGGUGAAUUGAAUAGAACAUAAACUCACCUGGUGUGUAUAACAUUGAUGAAAAAACAUCAUAAUAUAUAUAGUUCAAAAGCAGCCAAGUGCCUUCAUUUGUACGGUACCUGACCCUCGGGAAAUGUGAAAUAGCAGAUUCUAAUCAAGGUUUGCACUACUGGAGCCCAUCCAUGUGUUCUAUUGCCUCUGCCACCACUAUUGCUAAGUAAGCCAGAUAAGAAAUUAAGCCAGUGACAAAUAUAAAUGUCUGCCAACAGGAAAAACAAUGGUAGGCACAACAUGCUAUGAUGGUAGAGGUGGGCGUAAGAGGACAUUGCUCCUUUCUAGUUUUUGCCGGUAUAUACACUUGUUUAUAGCAAGAUAUUAUUACUCCAUUCAUAAGGCAAUGUCUUUAAUCGCAAGAAAACAGAUGUGAUAGUACAUACAACAACUAUAUACGAAUAAUGUGGCUGGAUUUGUUUCACAGAUUUAUAUUUGUAAUCUACUUAAAAUCAGUGUGCAUUGACAAUUGUAAAAUGUCAACAUCAUUUGCACCUGUUGCAUUAUGGAGUACAAAACAUUUCCCUCUUUUCUUUUGUAGGUUUAGGAGUGUAUUUAUAAUCAAUUAGUCAACUGACUUUAUCAAUUUUAGGAUUCCUACGGACAUACUGCAUGAAACACCAACGACUCUACUUCACAGCAUAGAGGGAAUGGUAAACUUGGACUGGCAAAAGCUGCUUAAACUCCGGUGUUUGGAUGGAUCCUUUCAUUCGUCACCUUCUGCCACAGCUUUUGCUCUAGAGCAUACAGGCGACAAGAAAUGCCUUGAAUUCCUUGAUGGAAUCAUAGAAAAUUUUGCUGGCGCAGGUAGGCAGAAAGAAUAUAUAUAUAAUUUGUCGAGUCACAUGCACAAGUUUUAAGAUCUUCAUAAAAUGAUUGUACUAGUUUGUUGGUGUUUUUAUAAAUGGAUUGUAUGAAGACAAAAAUUUGAACUUAGAAAGUCACAUUUUAUAUGGAUGGUAUUCAGAAUAAUAAAACUAAGUUCUGUUAGGGAACAAUAGGGUUGGAGAUUAUCCAGCCGAAAACUAUAUUUUACAAAGCCAGGUGUUAUUAUAGGAGCAUCAAAGGAACACACUUCACACUAUGUUCUGGACAUAAUUCCAUAGUUUAAUUAUCGUUUUUGUUUCUUGCAAAGUACAUCUAGUUUACUCUUGAAAUUACCAUAGGUUCAAAUACACAUUUUUUUACUAACACUAUUUUUAGGAAUUCAUUAUGUGUCUAUGUCUUACGGGAUUCAGUAUUUGUUCCAUUUGCACAUGAUAUGUUUACUAGCAAAAUAAGUCAACAAAAAUGUACACUUUUUUACAUAAAGGAUGCCGAUCCCGUUGAAACCAACAUUCAUAAGGAUUUAUGGGAAUAUGCGUAUGUGUACAAUAUAUAAUUGUUUAAUAUCAAAUGUUUGUUUUAUUUCUACUGUAGGUAAAAUCGGUCAACAAGAAUAGACACCUAGAACAAUAUUGCUUUAUUACUUCUGUUUGUAUAUGUCAGGACCAUCCAAUCGAAGACUUAGGGCCCAGUUGAAUUGGACUAAAGAACAAAUAAAAUUUGAGGAUUUUGAAUUCAAUGGAAAAAAAAUUCUCUUCAUGCUAUUGAAGCAAAUAAAUGAAGCUUUAGUAUUCCUACAAAUAUCCUAAGGGAAAGCUAAACCAAUAGGAUUUUUUUUGGGAUACAAACAUGAGUUGUGAGCACAUGAAUUUUUGCCUUGUCUAGCUAGGCACUUCUCUCUCCAUUAGUGCAUAAUAUCUAUGAAUAUUUCAAACAAGCAAUAAAAAGUUCAUUUAGUUUUUUUCUCAUAGAAUUUCACAAGGCAUGCAACCCUAGUCCGUCCAUUUUCCAACUGCAUAUAUUAUUUCAACUCAUGUGUUGUAGUAGUGGAGUCAUUAAACUUUGGAUGCACAAUUUUUCUACAAAAAGGAACAUACUAAAUGUCCAAUACCAAUACCUUUCCUUUCUAAUUAGCUUUGUUUACUUGUACCUUCAUUGCAUUUCAGUGCCCUGUAUCUACCCCUUGGAUGUGUAUGAGCACUUGUGGGCGGUUGACCGCUUGAUGCGACUAGGCAUAUCCAGGCACUUCGUAAGCGAAAUUGAGGGCUGCUUAGAGUUUGCCCACAGGUAACAUAUAGUACUUAUUUGAACAUCCAUAACCAAAUUAUAUGUUUAUCUGACAAUGAAAGGGCACUUUCUAUUCACCACUAACCAUUCAACUAGCAAGGUUAUAUCUUUAGAAACUCCACAACAUUGGGAAGCAUAUAUCUCUGCCAUUCAAUAUGAUUUAUUAAUGUGAGAUCAUGUAUUGCAAUAAUUCAUAAUAUUAAGAUACAAGUUGAUGGAAAUUAGAAUGUAAUGGGAGGGUAGACAUGCAUAGGGGUUUGCAGUUAUUUCCAAGUCUAUGCUAUUUGGUAAAACAAAGAACGCCACGGAAGCUAUGAUAGUUUGUAUAUCUGAGUUUUUCUCUAUACAAUGGGUACUUAAUACAAUGGUAACAAACUAUGAAAACGUCAGUGCAUUUGAUUUUUAUAUGUAUAGAUUUUUGCAAAAGAAAACUCAUAUAUAAAGGGACCAACAUCACUGCAAUUUUUAUUUGUGUGGGUGCUCAAACAUGUUUUGUCAUAUAGAUUAAUUUUAAGGUUUUUUGCAUAUGCUACCUAUUUCCAUACAUUAUACUCCCUUCAUCCUGAAUUAUUUGUCGCAGAAAUGGAUAAAAAUAGAUGUAUUUAGAACUAAUUAAAAAUACUUUUGAAUACAUCCAUUUAAGCGACAAGUAAUUCGGGAAGGAGGGAGUUCUAUUAACCCUCCUCUUCAGCCUGAACAGUAAACUGAGGUGCCAUGCCUCAAUGUACUUGUGGCAAAUACAAUACCAGAUAUGUCUAUAUGUAAUAUAUGCAAAAACUUGAACAGGCACUGGACUCAAGAAGGAUUGGCUCAUACAAAGAACUGUCCAGUGAAGGAUAUUGAUGACACAGCAAUGGGCUUUCGACUUCUCCGUCUUCAUGGUUACCAUGUCAAACCAUGUAAUAACUAGCAUUCCCUAAUACUUAAGGUAUAUGCAUGUACAUACAUGAGAGGUUUAACAAAAGUGCAUAUGGACAGGUGUUUUUAAGAACUUUGAGAAGGAUGGGAAGUUCUUCUGUCUGCGAGGGGAGUCAAACCCAUCUUCUGUCACCCCCAUGUACAACACUUACCGGGCAUCCCAGUUUGCAUUUCCCAGCGAUGAUGCUGUCAUUGGGCGGGCUGAGGUCUAUUGUCGCAGGUUCCUCGAAGAGAGAAGAGCCUCAAACAAGCUCAAGGACAAGUGGGCAAUCGCAAAGGACAUCCGAGGCGAGGUACAUUCCUGCAGAUAUCUAAUUUUGUUCUCAGCUGGCAGAAAAUUAGCAAUUGCAUCUCGUCUUAUAUACUUCAGUAACAGGUUGAGUACGCACUGGAUUACCCAUGGAAAGCAAGCUUGCCACGAGUUGAAACAAGGAUGUACUUGGAGCAAUAUGGAGGCAGUGCUGAUGUGUGGAUUGGGAAGGUCCUCCAUAGGUAACCUUACAAUGUAUUCCUUAUUAUUUGAAAAUAAUUGAAGUUCGAGUUUUGUCUUUAAUCAAAAAUAUUAUAAAUUUGACAAAGUUCAUACAAAAAUGUGCAAUAUCUACAACACCAAAUUAGUUUUAUCAAGUCCAGCACUAUUUGUUUCCAGUGCAAAGCAUUUAGGGAUUCUCCACCUCGUUACGGUGCCUUUUAUUACCAACGAGUUAUUUAUAGCUAGCAAAUUAAAUCAAAAUGUGCAACAACGGGGAUAAUUAUUUUUGAAACUACGCAGAUCGCGUACCUAGCAAAUUAAAUCAACAUGUGCAACAACGGGGAUAAAUUUUUUCGAAACUACGCAGAUCACGUACCUUAUUUUUAUCAUAGUUUUAAAUAGCCGGCUAUAUAGCCUUGUUAUAGCCUUUUCAGCAGGGGCCGUUAAAUGAUAUCAUGUAAAAAUAUGCAGCUAUAGCCCGCUAUAGCUGAUUUUGAGGCCUGCCGCUAUUUGUCAUAGCCCGCUAUUUAAAACAUUGAUUUUUAUGAAAGGUAGCGGAAAUUAUACAAUAAUAUGAUUAUAAGGUGUCCUUGGUAUGUUGAAAACCUCCUUGGCAUUUUUUUCUCUCGAAUGUGCACGAGUGUGCAUAUCAUAUAUUAAAGAAGAAAGACAAAGAGUGCCUCCAUCCAAGUUUACAAGUACAUCAAGUACACUCCACCCUCAUGUAUGUCGAAAACCCCCUUGGUAGUAGAAGCCCUUUCCAUGACUGGUCCUACUCAGUUCUCCUCAGCCACUCCCACCGUCCCAUCUAACCCGAAGAGCAAUCCAUACCUUUUGGGCUUGUGCACAUUGCCCCAUGCCACCAGUAAUUUACUUCGAUUUAUCUCAUCCACGUCGGCUCAAAACAAAGCUCUCGGCCAUUUGUUCAUCCAUGACCAGAAGGUGCUGUACAGGUCUAGCUGCAAUGACACUAUUUACUAGGACAAACUGCCCAUGCCUUUGUAUGAGGCCCUGCUGCCAGGAAAGAAUGAUAGAUUGCACUUGAUCCAACAUCGGCUACCACUAGUUCUCUUCUCAGUCAGGGGAUUGAUCGCAAGCUAGAGCGCUAGAUAUUUACACGGGAAAGUGCCAAUGUCGCAUCCCCCUGAUGCAGUCCAUGCACAUAUGCAAUCUUCCUUCCGGAAACCCCGUUCGCCAAGACUUUGGUGCUAGCCGAAGACAAAGCAAUUGCCAUCCACUUCAAUCAAACCUCCCACAAAACCCUUUUGACUAAGUACUUCAAACAAAAAUUCGCAAAGUAGGGGGUGGAAAGCUCGAGAUAUGUCCAUCUUCAGAAGUACUCCUCUCUCUUUCCUUGCAUGAAUCUUUCUUGCCACUUAGCACCCAUGAACAGAGGCUCCCCCUCCCUUCCUGACUCUCACCCACGUCUCCCUNNNNNNNNNNNNNNNNNNNNNNNNNNNNNNNNNNNNNNNNNNNNNNNNNNNNNNNNNNNNNNNNNNNNNNNNNNNNNNNNNNNNNNNNNNNNNNNNNNNNNNNNNNNNNNNNNNNNNNNNNNAACCCUAGCCGCCUCCCCCUCCGCCUCCCCCUCCCCCUCCCUUCCUCGCCGCCGCCUGAGGCAGCCGCCGGGCAAGCCCGGGGCGUCAAGGAUGGUGGCAGCGGGGCCUAGGCUGCCCUGCCUCUGCAUGUGGAGUCCCGGAUCUGGAGCGGCGGCUUCAUUGGCGAGGCACGACAGGCUAGCAGCCGUGCGGGAGGUGGAUCCGGCGUCUCGGCCGCGCGGGCGGCGGGAUCCGGUGGUCGCUGGCGUCCGGCGGCGGCUUUUGCGGUUGCCGGUGCGCGCGAUCUAGCGCCUCCCCUCCUUCCCUGUUCGGCGUGCGGGCCAGCCUGGUCGGGCCGCGCUUCCUUGGAUUGCCGGUUUUGUACAGGAGGUGCUGCUGGUGGUGGGGAUCUAGUUCGGGCGAAAUCCCUGGUCGACCAUGGCCGGCCGCAUCGACGGCGACGCCUGAGGGCGCCGUUCCCCUCCUUGAAGGCGUCGGUAUGGACUGAUCCCCUCACUUCCCCUUCCCCUAGGUCUCCCGGGCGAAAGCCUUAACUUUGUUGGGCGGCGGUGGCGCUCACGGCGUCGUUCCCUUCUUGAAGGCGCCGCUUUGGAACCUUGGGGCUGGGUGGCGCUUGUGGGUGGUGGGCGACGACGGUGGUGCGACCCUAUCCUAGCAUGGAUCUCCGUCCGUUGCUUGGAGAUGGACUCGCGUAGGUGGAGGUCGUCGUUUGGCGUCAUGAUGGCGUCGAUGGCGGAGGCACCUGCCAAGGCUGGUACCUCAAUCUGAUCUGAAGAUGGACCAAUAGAAGAUGACGGCGACGACACAUGUGAGUGCGUCGGACCGGUUUGCGCCCCGGACCCGGUAUGUGGCUCGGUCAGGGUCUCCGGCUUUAGAUGUUAGGCUUAGGUGAGAGGUCUGAGUAUUUGGUCCAGCUUGCACCCCUUUAUCAUAUGGAUAGGAGUAGCGGCAGAUGUUGCCAAAAUGGCGGAUUCAGACAUAUUGUUGUACUACUUUGUAAGAUCCUCGAGAAUAAUCAAAAAAAUGGCCGCAUGCAUCUUCCAGAUGCAGAGGCCGGGGGUCAUCCUCCUUUUCAAAAAAAAAAAAAAAACACACACAUGAACAGAUUAGUAUCCACUCCCACUUUAGCCAAGAUUGACAGGAUCCACGGCAUGGUACAUAUUAGUAUUCACGUCCGGUCAAUCUUGCUUAAAGUGGGAGCAUUCCUCUCAUUACUCUACGUGUAGCAUCUCAAGCAUAUAGAUCUUCUUGAGCCGAUGAUCAUCUACAAAGCUCCUAGUAAUCAUGUUCAUCAUGCCGCGCUGAGUAUUCAAGUUAUUUUUCUCGGACACCCAGAGGAUCAUGUUGAAGUUCCCAAUGAGCAACCAGGGUCUAGACAAAGCAGUCUUCUUGCCCGCAUCUCCUCUAGAAAUUUUAUUGCGAGUGCAUCAGCUUGAGUUUCCAAAGCAGGCAAAUACACGAAGCCGUCAAAGCACGGCCCCAAACAUUUCAAAACCAUGGUUUUGUUGAUGUUGGAUCCAAUUUUGUCUCUUGCACACAUCCAAAAUUCACUUUGGUCCCAGCCACCCACUCCCUCACCACCUUCCUCUUUGCUGGGUUACAUGGAUAUACAUAUAUAGGAACUGAACAUACGCACAACACACACACCGCAGUCACAGACGCACACACUACUGCACUAUGCGUUUACCAAGAUCUACAACCUAUACACACACGACACAUCUUGAGAAACUUCUGAAACCAUCUGACUCCAUGAAAGGCCCCAUGGAUCGAACUUGGGAGGGCUGAGAGGCCACCGCCACAACAAACUAUCGAGCCACAGGCUAGUCCUCGCAAAACGUUUUAUUAUCCUUGAGCCUAAUUUUGAAUUUUUCAGGAUGACCCUCUUCUGCAACGACCUGUAUCUCAAGAUGGCCAAAGUUGAUUUCAACAGAUUCCAAGUACUCUGCCGACUUGAGUUGCAUGGCAUGAAAGAGUAUGUCCUCAGGUUUACUAACCAAGCAAAAAUAAUUAGCUUCUUACUCGAAAGUGAUUCCUAUACAGGUGGUAUUCUAGGAAUAAUCUACAGAAGUAUGGUGGACCUCCGACGAAGAGCUUGCUGACAGCUUACUUCUUAGCAUCAGCAAACAUCUUUGAACCAGAACGAGUAGCAGAGCGUCUUGGUUGGUCUCGCACUUUGGUGCUUGUGGAUGUCGCCUCUUCUUACUUCCGACGCAUUGGGUACCUAGCUUCUUAUUUCUGAUUAUGGUGAAGCCUUAUCGGUCAAAGUUAACAUGCUCGUGCGUUCAUGUAGCGGAGCAAAAAAUUCAAGGGAGAAUCUUGAUCGGCUUAUCGACCUCGUAGCAUUUGGCAACUCUAAUUCCGACAGUCUUCGUAAAGCUGUAAGGCGUAGAAGCUUCUUACAACACUAGCUCAAACAUGUCUGGUGUGAUGCUAAAUGUAGUGAUAAUGGUUCCAUCUUUUUUUUUCUAACUGUAGUGGAAGCAAUGGCUCAUGGCAUGCGAUGGGAAGGAUAGCCAGGUUUCAUGGGAUGGGGACACUGCACUGUUGCUGGUUCGCGCGAUUGAGAUCAUCUCAGGGCGGCAUGCUCGAAUUGCUGAAAAUGAUAACCUAUCGGAGUAUUCUCGGCUAGAGCAGCUCACUUCUUCCAUCUGCGAUAAACUUUCUGCAAGGGUUCUUGUCCAGGUGUGUUUGCACAUGCAUUAUCUCCUGCUAUACAUAUGUUUUUGUUGUGUGUGGUUCCACAAUCAGGGAAAAUAACGGUUUAAUCAUUCAAACAGAAUGGGAAUAUCCAAGAUUUGGACAAUCAGGUGGAUUCGGAGAUGCAGGAGAUCACACAGCGCGUUCUUGAAGGGAGUAACGGUAUCAACAAAUUGAGCAGGCAAACAUUUCUCCACGUGGUGAAGAGCUUCUGCUACGUUACACAUUGCUCACCUGAGACAAUUGAUAGCCACAUCAGUAAGGUCAUAUUCCAGGAUGUUAUAUAAGGAAAUCCUGCCCUCCACCCACCCACCACCACCAAAACACCGCAACGUCCUCCCAUAUCCAAAAUUAAUGUAUCAUUUCUGGUCCUGAUAAUACUUAUGUCAACUGGUUAUGUGAUCCUAAGAAAUAAACGUGUCCACAUGGCAGUGCUCGUUGUUCAAUACUUAGUUGAGUUAGUGUUGAAUAUCAUGCACAAGAAGGGUCACGUAAGGACUAUCGUUCUAUUUUUAUUUAUUUUUUGAUGGAAGAGUAUCGUUCUAUUUUAUUUUAUUUUCACGGAAGACUAUCGUUUUAAUGUACAGGGUCCCUUUAAAAAAAGGAGUAAUGCUACAUCUACAAAGGCUUAUUUAAAGAUUUUACGUACAAACUGAUGUGUAAGAUUGUGAUUGGUAAUUGAGGGAUGAUGGCCCCACCUUCACUGAAAAUCAGGGGGAGAGAAGAAUUAGUUUGAAAGGCUAAGUAAACCUUUGUAAGUCUUUGUAGGUCUAGCAUUAUUAUAAAAAAAAUCACACUCCACACUUGUAACGCACACUUGUAAAAGAAGGUCCAGUUAUUAACUUCAGGCUUUAGCACAGCAACCGACUUCAAGAUCUGGAUUAUUGUUCUAUAAGAAAAAACUAUAGUAAUGUAAAUCAAUAAAUAACAGAAAUGAUAUGGAACUGAUGUUCCCUCGCGCGCAACGUCCCGUGGAGCGUUGGAUCAGACACGCACACACUACUCUUGGCACAACCUGUAUUUUUUUAAGACCAAAGGGAGGAGCUCCUCCUCUGCUGUUAGAGCGUCUCUAGCAGACUCCGUAAAUGGAUCGACAGACGGACAAAAAAGAGACGUGCGUCCGUUUAGGUCGCGCGUUACGCGGAUCCAAACGGACGGCGACGGACGAAAUGGAUCACCCCGUUGAAGUUGCUCUAAGUUUCGGCUAGCCUGUGUUUGCAUCUAUUGUUUAAAGUAAACCUUGCAAACCGGUGUGUGUUUUCUUUCGCGAAAGAAACUAGUGUGCUUUUCCUCAUGAGACAUGGGCACAUUAGCGAAGGAACGAUCAUGUCUAUCUACUACCACUAAAAAAGAACGAAGAGGCAGAUCCAACUCCCCCUCUCACCGUUUAAUUCUGUCAUCAAUGGUCAAAACAUCGUUAACGAAAUUGAUCCUUUCGUUAACGAAACCCUCCGCUAAUUUCUAACGAAACCUCUUCCUAGCGAAACCCCUACUCUCCAUACUGGGAACCGCUCCCACGCCUCCCACUCUCGCGAACUCAGGUGCUCGGCCCGCCGGCCUCCCCCGCCUCGCCGCAGCCGCCGGUGCCGCCUGCGCCCGCCUCGACCUGCCCACGCCGGUGUCGCCUGCUCCCGCGCCGGUGCCGUCCGCUCGCCCCCGUCCCCAUCUCCGUCGGUGCCGCGUGAGUCCCCGCUUCCCCCCACCCAUUCCCGUCCGCCUCCCGCGGCCUCGGCCUCCGCCGCCCCGUCGAUCCACUCGGCCGCAGCGGCUCCGUCCCCUCGAGGUAUUCAACCCACAUUGUAUCUUAUCUGCUUCGUUUCUAGCGCAGCGGAGGACGAGAAGGUGAGGGGCGGCGCCACCUGUACCCCACCUACACGCCGACGUCGUCCGUCCACGCGGUUGCCGGCGACUACCGCCCCCGGAGUUGGCGUCUACUCCCUGGGCAUGCUCCUGCUGGAGCUCCUCACCUGAAAUCUGAUACUAUCUGAACUGGAUGCGUCUCUAUUCACCUGCAAUCUGUUCACGGCGAUCUGCCUAUGUCUGCGCAUUCCAACCAGUUUCAAGGAGGACCCACGCAGAGUAUGGUCUUAUGGAAGUGCUCCCGACAGCAGUCUAGCCGUUCUCAGAUCACAUUGGGCUUAGUCGAUUCUUCUCGUAACAAGAACACAAGAUCAUCUGAAGCACAGAGUCUGAAGUACUUCGUCAGCUUAGUGGGCCGACGAUUGCGUAGCGGAUUAUCAACCAGAGAGGGCAGUCUAAGUGAAAAGCUCGACGUACUUUCAUCCGACAGAAUUUCGGGUAUUGGUUGAAAAUGGAGAGGUGUGCAUCAAAAGAUAGGAGCUACCCCCGGUGGACUCUGCUUUGUCUUUUUCAGUUUGAGGGAUCGCAAAAGCUGAGAUGCCUAUGGACAGAAAGACCAACUGUGCAGAAACUUCAGCAUCAACUUCUCACGGGAAGAAAGUCUACACGGAUUAUUCUCUCAGCGGUGAGAAAUGCAGUUGUGUUAGGCUUAAUAAUUGCUUUUGUUAAAAAAUAGAGUGCCUUUAUAAUAUUUAUAUUAUGUGGAUAUGUAAGCAUGUCAUUAAGCUACUGCUUGUGACUGUUUUAUCUGGAUUUGCCAGGCAUUCCAGGAGAUGGGAGAUGCCUAUUCCACCCCAUGGUUCAUGGGGCGUGUGUCUGGUAAUAGGAAGAUCUUCACAGAAAGCUAGCUGAUGAAUUGAGGUCAAUGGUAUGUCUGGAAUGUUUCUAGGUAUUUUGUUCUCUAAAUCUACUAUUGACUUUCAUUCUCUAAAUCUUCUAUACACAUCCAUCAUUGUACAGGUUGCCGAUGAAUUUGUCACUAGACGGGAAGAGACCGAAUGGUUAGUAGAUGCACAUUCUUACUGUUAUGUUUGCUCUUCUGGUUUUAAAAUGGGUGGAUAAUUAUAAUUGAUAUGUUUUGAACUGUCGCAUUUCCUUGAAUCAACGAUUGACAGGUUUGUUGAGGGCUAUUUUGAUACAUACGUUUCCCAGAUUAGGCAGCCACAUGUGUGGGGUGGUGAGCCAGAACUUUUCAUGGCUUCACAUGUUCUGCAGUAAGUAACUGGACCUGUUAUGCAUUCUUCUUCAUGGAUACCAAGGGGGUUGCCAACAACGAAAUAUGAAGGCUUACAUAUGUUUUGUUAGCUAAUAUCUAUAUCCGUGGAGCUAAAUAGCUUAAUGCAAAGAGUUGACUCUUCCUACUAUGUUUAUGUGAAAUCAUUUACAAAGUACAGAUACCAGUAGGGACAAUGUUCAAAAUAUUUGUUUCCUAGGAAUUGUUCAAAAUAGAUUGAGUACACAGCAUUCAGUGAAGUUGGCUAAAUUCCGGUGACAGUUAAAACUACAUAGCUAAGAAGUUCUCAUGUUAAUGCAAAGAAACGGUUCCUUCUUGAUGUGAUGUAUGCUCAGUACUUGGUUAACACGCGCUUAAGCUGUAGAGUCCAUGAAGUAAGAAAAAACCAUUAAUCACUUUGUUUACACAGGAUGCCAAUAACUGUGUACAUGCGUGAUGAAGAUGUGGGUGGUUUAAUAACUAUCACUGAAUAUGGCCAAGAAUAUGGUAAAGAAGAUACAAUACAAGUUCUGUAUCAUGGUUUUGGCCAUUAUGAUUCCCUACAGAUUCAGAAGACACAGGGGUCUGAAGACAAGAAUGUAGAAUUUGGGAGUUCAACAUUCAGAAGGUAAGGCCAAAGUAUUCCGGUUUCCAGUUUUCCCAUGUCGAUAUAUUAGUUGAGAUACUGAUGAGUGAGAUGACGAGAAUAAUUGUAAUAUAGCCUGAGUGAUAAGUAUCAUUAAGUUUUGCAGCAUCAUUAACUAUGUUGAAAGGAAAAAUACUUUACAUUAGAUUUUCCAUAAUAAUGUAGUGAUAAGUAAGAAAUCAUGAAUCAGGAUUAUUGAGUAGUUAUUCAUUCCUCACAACAUCGUUAACUAUUAUCAUAUGUGAACCUGGAAAACUGCUUACCAGUUACUACGUUGCUUCUCUUUUGAAAUUCUAAAUUAGCAUAAUUACAUCUUGAAUUCAUCAAUGGCGCAUUAUUUUGGACUACUCUUCUUAACUGAGACCAAAUAUAAAUGCCCUAGAGGCCUUAACAAUAGGAUGGCUUAAUCCUUUCAGCAUCCAAAAGUUAUUAAAAAAACUUAAAAAAACUCCAAUUAUGGUGAAGAAUGGAUGAGUCUCUCAUGGAGAUAUUUGUAUUUUGAGUUCUAUAACCACUUGAUAUUUUUCUUGCAAAAACUCCAUGUGUACAUGAACGAUAUUGGUCAGUGAUCUUAAGAUGCCCUACUGUACUACAUGGAAGCAAGUAAUUAUGCAAAUUGUAAUCGCGUUGGUAUAAAGCUUGGACUCUACUACACGGAAGAAAGAAAUAUUUUAUGAAGUCCCUCUACUAAAACCAUUAAAUCUAUUUUACUCUUUAUUGUUGCAGCUUCACUACCAAUUCAUAUCACAUUCGGAAACCAGCAUUAGAUGAGACUAUCCAGAUUUAAAACACAUUAAUAUUGAUAAAAAUAUACUAUCAAGUUCAGGUAAAAGGUAAGUACAGUUUUUAAGGAGUCAUGCCUGCUUCAACAAAUAUGUUCUUCAAAGCGUAAAACAAGCCAGUACAUCUCCAUUAAUGUUUUAUUUACUUCCAGUUGUAACACUUCAGCUCAUACUUAUCGAAUUUGUUAUCCUUCUUAUAAUGCUCUAUGUGGAGAAUAACAGACGGACACUUGGAAGUGUAAAUGGUAGUAAGAUCAAUGACCGACUUUGUACAUCUGAAAAUUUCGUGAACAGAAACGUGAUGUAAGAGUUUGCCUCAUUGUGAAAUGCAUGCUCAUGUAUCCUUUUUAUGCGUAUUUUCUGUAUAGAAACAUAAGGUCGUCUUUAUCAUGAAAACUUUUUUUGUGCUCAUGGUGCACAUAAUUCCUGUUUAUGUGAGAAUGAGAUAUAUCUGCAUCUAUAUUGCAGCCUAACGGUUAUACUUCACUUUUCUCUCUAGGAUGAGUUGAGCUUAAACUUUGUGUUAGUAAGAGACAAGGGUCUCUCUUAGCAUAUAAAAGCAAUCCUCACAGGAAGGAGCAUAAUGAAGUUAGUUUAUAGCACUCCCGAGUCCCUCCCCAGUAGUUCUCAUGAAGUAUCAAUCUUAGACUGAUUGCUCUCUUGUUGUGGUCUUACAAGACUUGAAAUAUUGGUAUGUCCCAUACAUUGUCUUAUUGCAUUAGUUUGGUUAUAUCUGCAGUGUGUACAUGUUUUUUUUCUUAUCUUUAAUUAUUAAUGACAAAUAAACAACAUUGUUUGUUAUCUUUACUUAUUAAUAAAAAUACGUAGGAAUUCUGGAUAAUGACUUCUGAAUAACAAUAAGUAGAAAUUCUGAAUAAAAAAGUACAUGAGUAUGGCGUGCACCUUAACAGAGAAGUAAUAAUUUAGACUUUUGACAGGUUGACGUUGAAAUUUUUAGAGAGCUGCACCCAUCUUGUAUGCCAACAUUGGUCUUUAGAUUAGUCAGUGUUGUGUUGCAGCAUAUGUUCGCUAUAGAAUACAUUCAGGAGUUCUAUAGAGUUUCGUCUGCAAGCUUUUGAUACUAAUGACUGUAUCUUUAUAAAGAUAUUUCAUGUUUCUGAAAUGAAUUUUGUCUAUGUGAAGACAAGAAAGAGUGGAUAGCACUAGCAGGUCUUAAAUUUGCAAGCUUUUCUUCAAGCAAGGUAAUCGUAUGAACUAAAUAUUUGCCGGAUAUAAUUAAAGGUGAAUGGUUUGUUACAAAUCUAGCAUACACCUUUUUGAAUCUUGAUCUUGGUUCACAUAUAGCUUACAUAAUGUGAAGUUGUAUUUUAAAGUGUGACGUUUCCAAAAUGAAUGCCAAACAUAAGGGAAUAUGUCAACGUCCAAACAUUGAAGAGGGGAGAGGGGGGUUAUAACAUCGUUGAUUCUGGCUCUUGUCGUUAUAGAUGGGAGGACAAUACAUCUCUACUCUGUCCUUUCCAUAAUUCUUGCCGUGGUUUUAAUUCAAAUUUCCUGAUAAGAAUUAUGCAUGAAUUGGAGGGAAUACUAUGGUACUUUAUUCUUCUAUUCUUGUUUAUCUUUCAUAUGUGUGCUUGUAAGCAUUUAGGUUAAUGUUUUGCUACCAUGACAACACAAAGUUCAGUUCACUAGUUCUUGAUUGGAUAUCUGAUUGAACAAAGAAAUGUAUAUUUAGGCAUUGGACAUGUUUCAUGUCUGAAAUUACAGACUAGGCAUUAGUUUUUUUCCGAAAAGGAGGCAUUGCCCCGGCCUCUGCAUCGAGGGAUGCAUGCAGCCAUUUAUUAAGUACAGUAACAGUUCGACACAAAGUACAAAGUAGACCGAAAAGCUGCGAAAAUAAAUUACAUGGCGAUUAACGCCAAAACCGAUGGAAAAAAUAGGCGUAGUUGACUAAAUCCCUAUUCUAUCAGCAUGACGCCAUCCAAAUCGGUUGAAGAUAGCCUGAGCUACCAUCUCUCAUCGGGCACACCCAGUAACCAAAGGCUCCCUGGUUACCACAGGAGUGAGUAAGGACCAAAGGCGGUAGCCCUGAAGGUGACCUGCAAAAAGUUGAUACAUUGUUGUCUGUUAAAAACAAGGUCAUUUCUACAAUUCCAUAUAGCCCACAAAAGUGCAGAUAUUCCAACUCUAAAUAGUUUGGCGAAAGAAACAUUAACCUCAUCCAGCCAUGUCCCAAAUAACAUGUGAAUGCUAGUAGGCGGCGAAAUGUUAAAAGUGAUAUGUAUAGAGCGCCAUAAGAUUUUAGCCAUAGGGCAGUCCAGAAAGAGGUGUUUAAUUGAUUCAGGCGACUGACAAAAGCUACAUCGUUGGUUUCCUUUCCAAUUUCGCUUGGCCAAGUUAUCCUUAGUUAAAACAACUCCUUUGUGAAGAAACCACAAAAAGAUUUUUAUCUUAAGGGGAACUUUGACCUUCCAAAUAUGCCUUGAUUUUGGGAUAAUUGAAUUAUCAAUACAAUGGUCAUACAUUGAUUUGAUCGAGAAUGUACCAUUGGAGGUCAGCCUCCAAAUAAUACAAUCAGGAUCAUCAGAAACACUAACAUCCAUUAACUUUCUGACUAGAUGUAACCAUGUAACCCAUCUAUUGCCAAUUAGGGAUCUGCGAAACUGAAUGUUGAGAGGAGUCUCACUUAACACUGCCGCAACGGACGUCUGUCUGCGCUGGGCAAUAUUAUACAGCUGCGGAUACUGAAGAGAUAGUGGUUCGUCACCUAGCCAAGUAUCCCCCCAGAAUCUAGUAGAUUCACCAUUGCCUAUGAUGAAUUUAGUCCUGUUAAAAAUGCCGUUUUUGUCCUCAUUAGGCCUUCCCAAAAAGGUGAAUCACCAGGUCUCAUGGUGACCUGGGCUAAGGUUUUUUGCUGUAGAUACUUGCUCUUAAGUAGUUGUAUCCACAUACCUUGAGCUUCCACUGAGAGUCUCAACAACCACUUGCUGAGCAGACACCUGUUCUUCACCUCUAAAUUUUCAAUCCCCAAACCUCCCUGAUCCUUUGGCCUACAAAUAAUAUCCCAUUUAGCCAGCCUAUAUUUGGUCUUGAUCUCAUCACAUUGCCAGAAGAAUCGGGAUCGGUAAAAAUCCAACCUUUUUCGCACCCCAACUGGUACUUCAAAGAAGGAUAGAAGAAACAUUGGCAUGCUCGUCAACACUGAGUUAACUAAAACCAAACGUCCUCCAUAGGAUAGUAGCUUGCCCUUCAGCUCAAUUUUUUCUCAAACCGAUCCUCGAUACACUUCCAUUCCUUGAUAGUUAACUUUCGGUAGUGAAUAGGUAUCCCUAAGUACGUAAAUGGUAACGUACCACCCUCACACCCAAAAAGUUGGUUGUAAGUGAGUUGUUCUGUUUUUGCGUGUCUCCAAAACAGAAGAGUUCACUUUUAUGAAAGUUAAUCUUCAGCCCAGAUAGCUGUUCGAAUAAGCAUAAUAUUAGCUUCAUGUUUCUGUUGGGAAACUUCGCAUGGGAAACAAAAAUUUUCCUACGCGCACGAAGACCUAUCAUGGUGAUGUCCAUCUACGAGAGGGGAUGAGUGAUCUACGUACCCUUGUAGAUCGUACAGCAGAAGCGUUAGUGAACGCGGUUGAUGUAGUGGAACGUCCUCACGUCCCUCGAUCCGCCCCGCGAACAAUCCCGCGAUCAGUCCCACGAUCUAGUACCGAACGGACGGCACCUCCGCGUUCAGCACACGUACAGCUCGACGAUGAUCUCGGCCUUCUUGAUCCAGCAAGAGAGACGGAGAGGUAGAAGAGUUCUUCGGCAGCGUGACGGCGUUCCGGAGGUUGGUGAUGACCUUGUCUCAGCAGGGCUCCGCUCGAGCUCCGCAGAAACGCGAUCUAGAGGAAAAACCGUGGAGGUAUGUGGUCGGGCUGCCGUGGAAAAGUCGUCUCAAAUCAGCCCUAAAACCUCCGUAUAUAUAGGUGGGAGGGAGGGGGCCUUGCCUUGGGUCUCAAGGAGCCCCAAGGGGGUCGGCCGAGUCCAAGGGGGAGGACUCUCCCCCCCAAACCGAGUUGGACUAGGUUUGGNNNNNNNNNNNNNNNNNNNNNNNNNNNNNNNNNNNNNNNNNNNNNNNNNNNNNNNGGAGGGAAGCCCCCUUCCUUCCCCCCUCCUCCUUUUUUUUCUCUUGAUUUUUUUCUUCUUGGCGCAUAGAGUCCUUUUGGGCUGUCCCACCAGCCCACUAAGGGCUGGUGUGCCACCCUCAAGGCCUAUGGGCUUCCCCGGGGUGGGUUGCCCCCCCGGUGAACUCCCGGAACCCAUUCGUCAUUCCCGGUACAUUCCCGGUAACUCCGAAAACCUUCCGGUAAUCAAAUGAGGUCAUCCUAUAUAUCAAUCUUCGUUUCCGGACCAUUCCGGAAACCCUCGUGACGUCCGUGAUCUCAUCCGGGACUCCGAACAACAUUCGGUAACCAACCAUAUAACUCAAAUACGCAUAAAACAACGUCGAACCUUAAGUGUGCAGACCCUGCGGGUUCGAGAACUAUGUAGACAUGACCCGAGAGACUCCUCGGUCAAUAUCCAAUAGCGGGACCUGGAUGCCCAUAUUGGAUCCUACAUAUUCUACGAAGAUCUUAUCGUUUGAACCUCAGUGCCAAGGAUUCGUAUAAUCCCGUAUGUCAUUCCCUUUGUCCUUCGGUAUGUUACUUGCUCGAGAUUCGAUCGUCAGUAUCCGCAUACCUAUUUCAAUCUCGUUUACCGGCAAGUCUCUUUACUCGUUCCGUAAUACAAGAUCCCGCAACUUACACUAAGUUACAUUGCUUGCAAGGCUUGUGUGUGAUGUUGUAUUACCGAGUGGGCCCCGAGAUACCUCUCCGUCACACGGAGUGACAAAUCCCAGUCUUGAUCCAUACUAACUCAACUAACACCUUCGAAGAUACCUGUAGAGCAUCUUUAUAGUCACCCAGUUACGUUGCGAUGUUUGAUACACACAAAGCAUUCCUCCGGUGUCAGUGAGUUAUAUGCUCAUGGUCAUAGGAACAAAUACUUGACACGCAGAAAACAGUAGCAACAAAAUGACACGAUCAACAUGCUACGUCUAUUAGUUUGGGUCUAGUCCAUCACAUGAUUCUCCUAAUGAUGUGAUCCCGUUAUCAAGUAACAACACUUGCUUAUGGCCAGGAAACCUUGGCCAUCUUUGAUCAACGAGCUAGUCAACUAGAGGCUUACUAGGGACAGUGUUUUGUCUAUGUAUCCACACAAGUAUUGUGUUUCCAAUCAAUACAAUUAUAGCAUGGAUAAUAAACGAUUAUCAUGAACUAAGAAAUAUAAUAAUAACUAAUUUAUUAUUGCCUCUAGGGCAUAUUUCCAACAGUUUCUGGCUUUUUUGAGAUCGUGUUUCAGCCCAGAUAGCUGUUCGAAUCUGCCGCUAGUGGCCCGUCCGCUGCCGCCAUGGUAACAACCGGUGCAGCAGCUAGCUGCGCCAUGGUAGACUCCGGCUGUAUCGCACCUCUCGGCAAGUUAACAGCAUGAAGGUUCUGAAGCACCUGAUUAGCCAUGAUCCCACCAGAAGAGCGAACAGGUUCAGCCUCCAAAGCCGAAUGAAAGCGCCCAUGUUAGUUACCAACCAACUUUGCUUCCGUCAAAGACGUUUCCAGGGAAACUGGUUGCAACUUAUUAGUAGACUGCAGAAUACCAAUGUUGCUCCGAGGAUUUUUCCCCAUAAACCUCGGCUGUCUCGCCCGCGAGUAGGUGUCCAUGCACGCCGACCUAAAUUUUGCCGGCGCAGAUGCAGGCUCGAAAGAACCAAACCGCAAGGCGAGAUCGGAAGCAGAGACCAAUUGUUUUGUACCCGUGCCUGAGUAUUGCCUAGACUGAGUAGAUGGCGAUUGUGCAUUGUUCUGAGAAGAGAACUUAGGCCCUGAAUCAUUUGCAGUAUCCGCAUUAUCCUUGGCACCAUCCGCAUCAUCCCCAUCAGCCAUAUUGGUAUCUUUAUCUAUGUCCGUUGCAUCAAAAAGAGUAGGGCUCUCGAUUUCCAAUUGGAGAGUGUAACACAUCCCUUCAUAUGUCCAAAUAACGUCAUCUGGAAUAAGCUGAAUAUCUAGCACACUCACCAGCAUCCUCGCAAUGCCUUUGGCUCUAGUGAACACCAUAUCCACCUCUUCUGUUUUGCCAAUAAGCGAACCCAAACUCCAUACAACUCUAAAAUCAUUCAUAGCCCUGGAAGGAGCUCCAGCAAAGUGUACCCAAAUCUGAGGUAGAGGGACACCCUUGGGCUCCUCACACUUCAAGGCAUCAAAUUCAAGCACGCAGCUUGUGCUAGCCACUCUGCACAUACCGAACUUAAGCAGACGAGCCAAAUCCUCCUUAGUAGGAAAAACGACCUUAAAGACAUUAUCUAAAAUCAAAACCGGUUCCCACCUGAAGGUCGAUGAUACAAGCUCCUUGAGCUGUUGCACCACCUGCUCCACAAUCAAGCUCCCCCGAGUUACCGUCACCGUACCCGUGAAUCCAGCAUCUGGUGUAUGAAGUGUCGCCGUCACCGCUGGCGACUCAAAGAACAUCAAUUCUUGACUCGAAACACCAUAAAUGGUCACAACCGGCAUAGGUCCAAUCGUGAGAGGGCAUUUAGCGAAACCAUGCGUAGGCUUAAGACAAUACACACAUAGCUCCGCCUUGCAUUCAGACACAAAGUGUCCCGCCUCACUGCAACGGUAACACACCAUCUUCUCUUUCUUGCGAGCCCACUUGGAGGGUCUGUCCCCCCCAUCUCCUUUUGCCACCGUAGGAUUCUGAUCAGCUAGUCCAGGAUGAGCCGCCUCAUUCACUGGCUCUGGCACAGACUCCCUAGCGGCCUCAGCAAUCUCUGUCACCGCCUCUUGAGCAGGCAUAGGAGGCCUCGGCUUUCUACCACCCCCCUCUGCCCGCCCAAUUCUGUCGAAAGGCACCUCUCUUGUGAUACGAAGGACCCGACGUCCCCGGCACAAACUUGCCUGGUGGUGCCGUAAAACCCUGGUUAGCAGUCAUAUUGUUCAUUGGCGCAUGACCUCGCCCACCACCAUAUGAUGAUGAGCCGCGGAAUUGACCGUCCCCAUACAUGUUACCUCCAUCAGUGCCCCAACGUCCUCGUUGCUGAGACCGAUGCUCCGGUGGCUCCCCCACCUGACCGGCUGCCCCGGGCUGUCUCCCCGCCUGCGCAGCAGCAUGAGAGCUUCUCGCGACCUGCGGAACCGGUACUGGUGUUGCUCUGUCCCCUUGUCCCGGCGGUCUAGGCUGCAUUGCCGGCGGCUGUUUGGUAGCCCCCCCUGCCCGCCAUAACCGUAUCUCCAGUCGGAAGGGGCGGCACCCGAGUUGCACGGCCUGUUCCCAAGGGCGGGAAGCCGUGGUUGAGCCGCCGAAGAACCCUAGAGACAGUCGACGUGGUGCAUGGGAUGUCGUCAAGGGGAGAAGGCACCGCGAUUGGAUCUACGCCGCCCAGCGUAAUCCUCUGCACGAUAUUGCCUGUCGAAAGAGCUAGGUCCUGGGCCUUAUACCCACUAAUAGCACUGUCCAACGUGGCCGAGUCUACAACAGGUAUUACCACCUGGGCCCUAUACCCAUCGAUAGCCAGGUCCUUAGAAUCCGACACCGAUCCCGCAUGAACCGACGCCAGCGCAACCGAUCCAGCAUUAUCGAAUUGAGACUCUACCUGGGCCAUACACCCAAGUUCUAAUGAGCCCAUCUCUGGAUUACUAUCAUAAGGCCCGCUUUGUCCAAUCAGGUAGUUCAAACGAGCGUUACGGUUUUCAUGGAUCGUCAGCUCCUCGACGGCCGCCGGCGGCUGCACCGUCCCUGCUCUGCUCUUCUUGUUCUUCCUAUGCAGAACGGUAGUCCAGGACUCCGAGGGGAUGAAAUCUAAAAUCCUCAAUGGUUCCAAAGAUAUCUUGGGCAAUGGACCUUUCCAAGGCUUAAUCAUACCUGACUUCUUCUGUUGAUCGACCCGUCUCUUCAUCAAAGCAGGUUUGACAGAUAUUUUAGGAUCUUCUGGCAGCCAUCGGUCCUGCAAUUCCUGCGGUUCAUGCGGUGAUGGCUGCUCCUCCUCGUCGUCGUCCUCUCCUGCAAGUACCCAGAACCUCCCCCCAACCCUAGGUGGGUUUUGUCUCGGUUUGCAUCUCUCUUCCUCAUCCGAGGACACAUCAAUUGGCUGCAAAUCUUCUUGAUUUAUCGGUAUACCCUGCAAAAUGUGAGAAACACAAAUGACAGAAUAAACGCCGACUAGAAAAUGUGCACCUUCCCUGAUCAGCUCUCCCUCUUGAAGAUGACGACCAGCGAGAAUGUCGUCCUCCUCGUCCCUGAGUGUCAUCCAUCUUGAAUCCGGGUGGAAAACUAUCAUACCUUCCUUCAAACUGUUUUGCCAACCUCUGAAAAUGAAGCCUUCCAUUUGAUGCGGUUGUUGACCUGCACCGUCGGCGAGAUCUGAAGCCGCUGCUCCUUCCCCGCAGAAGAUAGUUCACUCGCAAGGAUCCCCAGAUCGGACGGCGAUGUGGUUCGCCUGAUCUCCCCCUCUUCGAUGGUGGUUCCGGCGUCUCCUGAGUCGCCCGGGUCGCCCCGGUCGCUAGGCACCACCAACACGUCCAUCCGUCCUUUUUCUCAACUACGACCCACUUGUCAACUGGAAUCAGACUAGGCAUUUUUUCUCAACUACGACCCACUUGUCAACUGGAAUCAGACUAGGCAUUUUUUCUCAACUACGACCCACUUGUCAACUGGAAUCAGACUAGGCAUUAGUAAAUGGAUAGAUAUACAAGGAAUAGUCUUGCAGUAAGAUCAGUAGAAGAAGGUGAUCAUAGCAUCAGAUUGUCUUAACUUGGUGCAAAACUCUGAUCAUCAUGCAUGGGCAUAUCUCUUCGAGGACCAAAUCCAUGACACAAGUCAAUGGUGGCUAGCUUUUGGAGUUUUUAUUUGUUUUUGUUAGUCGAUGGUGUAAUAGAUAUUUAUUGUUUAGAUCAGCUAUCCAACUUGUAUCUGUUUCGUUGUAUGACGCUCCAGGGUUAAUCCUAGCUCUUGUGAUGAACAAUUCAAUCAAAAAGUUUCUUGUUUUAUAUUUUGAUUAUCAAGAAUACAUUUAUAUAUCAAUAGUCAAUUUUGAAACAUAAUAAGCAAGACCAUGUUCUUUUGGCCGUCGAAAGAAAGUCUCUUUGGUCCUUUAUUUGCACCAAUCCUUGUGUAACCGCGAUGAAAAAACACUUGAGUUUCUAGACGGAAAUAAUAAAUCAAUUCAAGUUGUACUAGAGUAUUACAGAUGAUGUUUUUUAUGAUCAUGUAGCGACAACACACAACAUGCUAUUUGGAUUGAAAGGGUGGUUCGGAAACUAAUUUUCUCCAAAAGCAAGAGGAGAUGAGAUUACCACUUGUAACUUGUAAGUACUGGACUUUCUAGAAUAUGUCCUUAGCCUUAGAUGUCCUUGAUGUCAUGUAUAGUAGGAGUAUGAAUUUAUUUUUCAGUGAGUGGACAAGUUUUAUGCUCUAAAGCUCUUAUGAUUUUAGUAUUUGAAUUUUGCUCUAUCAGACAACACGUGCAUUGCUAGUACACGAUUACUAGUGUACGGAAGAGUGUGUAUUCUCUGAUUUAGUUUCCGUGGGUGAGCAAAUCCGGUGUGCCCCCAGGUGGCGGCCGGCGAGUGGCCACGCCGGGGACGCCGGAUGCCGACCCAUAUCCGGAGGCAUCACGGCGGCCAAUGGGGUGGCGCGGACGUGUCGCGCCCCGCAUCCACCAGUUGCGCCCGGCGCACCUCAGCCGCCGUAUAAAGAUCCACCUCGCGCACCGGACAUCUCCACCCAAACACACACACACACACACCAUCCUCCAGUUGAUCUCACUGAGCUCGCAGGCAGCCCCAGCCACCAGCGAAAUGGCCGCGUCGGCGCUGCACCAGACGACCAGCUUCCUCGGCACCGCCCCGCGGCGCGAUGACCUCGUCCGCAGCGUCGGCGACUUCGGCGGCCGCAUCACCAUGCGCCGGACCGUCAAGAGCGCGCCCCAGAGCAUCUGGUACGUGCUACUAGUAGGAGUAUUCCCCAUGCAUGCUUCUCUUCUCCCUGACUCUGCCCCCGAGCAUACGUCGUGUCAUUCGACUAAUGCACACCUUGCUCAUGGAUGGAUGGAUGAAUGUGUAGGUACGGCCCUGACCGUCCCAAGUACCUGGGCCCGUUCUCCGAGCAGACCCCGUCGUACCUGACCGGCGAGUUCCCCGGCGACUACGGGUGGGACACCGCGGGAUUGUCGGCUGACCCAGAGACCUUCGCCAAGAACAGGGAGCUGGAGGUGAUCCACUCGCGGUGGGCGAUGCUCGGAGCCCUCGGGUGCGUGUUCCCCGAGAUCCUGUCCAAGAACGGCAUCAAGUUCGGCGAGGCUGUCUGGUUCAAGGCCGGCGCGCAGAUCUUCUCCGAGGGCGGCCUCGACUACCUGGGCAACCCCAACCUGGUGCACGCGCAGAGCAUCCUCGCCAUCUGGGCAUGCCAGGUGGUGCUCAUGGGCUUCAUCGAGGGCUACCGUGUUGGUGGCGGACCCCUCGGUGAGGGCCUCGACAUCAUCUACCCGGGUGGCGCCUUCGACCCACUUGGCCUCGCCGACGACCCCGACACAGCCGCCGAGCUCAAGGUCAAGGAGCUCAAGAACGGCCGCCUCGCCAUGUUCUCCAUGUUCGGCUUCUUCGUGCAGGCCAUCGUCACCGGAAAGGGACCGGUUGAGAACCUCUUCGACCACAUCGCCGACCCAGUGAACAACAACGCGUGGGCCUUCGCCACCAACUUCGCCCCCGGAAGUUAAAUGUGUUUAGCAGCCAUCCGUCUGUCCAUCGGACGAGAUAUGCAUGUGUACUUGUACGUCGUGGAUCAACGUGUAGCUGCACGUACUUUGUGUGUUUAUUUGUAUCAUCAUCAUCAUCGAGCGAGCGAGAUGCCCUCUCCCUAGCUGUGCGCAAUGUAAAUUAAUUGAGCACAAGGUGUGCACGAGCGAAUGGAUGGAAGGAUUGUGUGUCAAUACUCCACAUCAACCAGUGUCACGGCGUAUAUGGUAUAUACCCCAUGAAAGGAAGAAAAAUGAGGGCAAGUGUUGAGUAAAUAGGCAAUUUUCCGAGUAGAUUAAUCCAUGAAAUAAUUACUAACAUGGCAUUGACUAGGUUCAUAACAUGUUGAUCACGGAGUAUGCUAGCAAGUACUACACAUAUAGCAGAAACAUCUACGCAUACAGGCAGUACUACUAGUGCAGACAGAAACAAGAGAGAGAUAAACAUAUCAUACCCUCCGAUCGGCCAAUUGGCCGUAGCAGCAGCGGUGGCGGCGGCAGCAUCCUCUGCCGCCUUCUUCUCGGCUUCGGCCUUCUCGCGGACGAGACGGUCAGCUUCGCUUGGUGAAGACAUGGCGAUGACGAGGACGACGCGGACGUAGACGAGCCCACUCUGCCGCCUUCUUCUCGGCUUCGGCCUUCUCGCGGACGAGACGGUCAGCUUCGCUUGGUGAAGACAUGGCGAUGGCGAUGACGAGGGCGACGCGGACGUAGACGAGCCCACGAUCCGACGUCUCGGAUCGUGUCGUGUCCGUUACGUAUUCUCCGUUCCUGACCGGCAAAAAUAACCGCGUAGGUAUGAGCUCGACUCGGCUCAUUCCCGCGGCGCGUCGUGGCGAGGCGAGGCGAGGCGUGGCGUGGCGAGGCGGGCGACGGAGGAGGAGUGCGCGAGGGCACCUUCUCUUCUCACUCUCCAAUAGCAUGUGGAAGAGAAACCCUUAUAAAGGGGUCCAACUUCUCCUCCACUAGCGGGGUGGGACUAAACUUCCCACCACCUUGUCAUGCCACCACCUACAUGGGCCCUUGGAGAUUUUUCUGAAAUUCUCUAAUGGGCCUAAAGCCCAUUGCCAAUUUCAACAAUCCCCCACCAGAUCUCAAGGGCACAUCGUGUUCUCUCGUUCCAAUCACUGUUUUAAUAUACCAGCAUUUCAGUGAUGACUUGUUAAGGUUGAGCUUCACCUAGAGCAAGUAGCUACACCCCUUUACAACUGAACAAUGGACUAUGCCUUGAAUUGUCAGUUUGGCGUAAAGGAGCUUCACCACAAGUCUUACUAGUACUAGGCCGCCGAAGGUGACCCCUCAGGUGGAGCAUAUUAGUCACAAUCCUGGCCUAUUCAUGAGUUUACUAGAGAUCACCCAAAUCUCAUAGACUGUGACCAGCAGUCAAGCUCAUAUAGGUGUGUUCCUCCAAAGAUCGCUCUGUAGGAUAGCAUCUUGCUUACAUAUAAGCUUUAGACCACAUUAAGACAGUAGUCAUCCUACCAUACAGUAUCCGAGAGUAUUGCAUCUCCAACGGAGUGGGUUAGUAAAGUUACUCUCCUCAGUUCACCACUGGCUUGUUUUCCCAGGUCUUACUUCACGGGAUCUCCGAUCAUAUAGGUUGGGUUACUGCCAUGGCAACUCAUGUGGGUCUCAUACCCAUCUCCCUCGAUGCACCGUCUAUCACAACACGUGAUAGCCCUUUAGUAAAGGGAUCUGCCAGAUUCUUAGCCGUUUGGAUGUAAUCCAACGCUAUCACUCCGGAGUUUCUCAAACGUCUGACAGACUUCAAUCUCAUUCUUAUAUGUUUGUUGGACUUCAUAUUGUCCUUUGAACUCUUCACUUUAACAAUAACUGUUUGAUUAUCGCAGUUCAUAAGGAUAGCCGGAACCGGCUUCUCAACCACAGGUAAGUCCAUCAAAAGAUCUCGAAGAAAUUCUGCUUCGACACCAGAUGUGUCUAAUGCUGUUAAUUCUGCUUCCAUUGUCGAUCUCGUUAAGAUCGUUUGCUUGCAAGACUUCUAGGAAACAACACCACCCCCAAGAGUAAACAUAUACCCAGUAGUGGCCUUCAUCUCAUCAGCAUCAGAGAUCCAAUUCGCAUCACUAUACCCUUCAAGUACCGAUGGGAAUCCCGUAUAGUGAAGCCCGUGGUUGACAGUACCUUUCAAGUAGCGCAUAAUUCUUUCAACAGCACGCCAAUGAACAUCGCCCGGAUUUGCAACAAACCGGCUAAGUUUGCUCACAGCAAACGCGAUGUUAGGCCUCGUUGCGCUAGCUAGGUACAUAAGCGAACCGAUAAUUUGAGAGAAUCUCAAUUGAUCUAUAGCUGUGCCUUUAAACUUUCGAAUAAGCACACUAGGAUCAUAUGGUGUUUGAGAAAUUUUGCAGUCUGAAUAUCCAAGCGACUCAAAAUCUUCUCAACAUAGUGGGAUCGCAGAAGUGUAAUCCCACCCUCAUCAUCUCUCAAUAGCUUGAUGUUCAAGAUAACAUCAGCCACCCCAAGGUCCUUCAUCUCAAUGUUUUGAGACAGAAAAGACUUAACCUCCUCAAUUACUUUGAGGUUGGUUCCAAAUAUAAGUAUGUCAUCAACAUACAAGCACAAUAUAACUCCUUCGCCCCCACCAUGGCGAUAGUAUACACAUUUGUCAGCUUCAUUAACAACGAAGCCAACAGAUGUCAGAGUUGUAUUAAACUUCUCAUGCCAUUGGUUAGGUGCUUGUCUCAGACCAUAUAAAGAUUUCAACAACUUACACACCUUUCCUUCCUGACCUUCUAUCACAAAGCCAUCUGGCUGUUGCAUAUAGAUUUCCUCAUUUAGCUCUCCAUUCAGGAAAACUGUCUUAACGUCCAUUUGAUGAACGAGAAGACCAUGAGAGGCCGCCAAUGAGAGUAGUACUCGAAUGGUGGUUAGUCUAGCCACAGGUGAAUAAGUAUCGAAGAAAUCUUCUUCUUCUUUCUGGGCAUAGCCCUUGGCAACAAGCCUAGCCUUGUACUUUUCAAUCGUACCAUCGGGCCUAAGCUUCUUUUUGAACACCCACUUGCAUCCCAAUGGUUUGCAACCAUAGGGACGAUCAGUGAUUUCCCAUGUCCCAUUAGCCAUGAUGGAAUCCAUCUCGCUACAGACUGCAGCUUUCCAGUAAUCAGCAUCUGGAGAAGCAUACGCUUCUGAAAUAGAAGUGGGAUUAUCAUCCACGAGGUAUACGAAGAAAUCAUCACCAAAGGUCUUUGCAGUACUUUGUCUCUUGCCCCUACCACAGGCUUCCUCGUCAUCCUCCUCAGGAUUGUCAUCAUGUGUUUGUUCAUAGUAUUCCAUAGGAAUGGCAGGCUCAGGAGUUAUCUCAGAUUCCUGUCUAGAAGUGCUUUGCAUAUCUCUCAUGGGAAAUAUAUCCUCAAAGAAUGUAGCAUCCCUCGACUCCAUUAUUGUACCGACCUUCAUGUCAGGUACCUCAGAUUUCACUACUAGAAAUCUAUAGCCUACGCUAUUCUUAGCGUAUCCCAAAUUAACGCAGUCCACAGUCUUUGGUCCAAGCUUACGCUUCUUGGGGAUCGGUACAUUGACUUUCGCCAAG